Molecule: long non-coding RNA, 61760 nt
Filed under: Sorghum bicolor (sorghum)
Lineage: Eukaryota; Viridiplantae; Streptophyta; Magnoliopsida; Poales; Poaceae
Description: long non-coding RNA (SBIC_LNC016871)
Source: RNAcentral
CAUGCGAGUCAGGCUGAGUUCAUACACGAACCAAACAGGCCUUACACCAUUCUAUGACAUCACAUCAUCUCAUCGGUUUUCAUGUCCAUGAGUCCUGGCCAUACACUUUUGAAAAACCAAGCACAUUGAGCUAGACAUCCAAUUUGUUUGAGAUGUCCUUGGGGUUUUUAAAGACAAGCCUUUUAACAUAGCCAUUUUUUAAAUUAAACAUAGCUUUUUUUUUUUUGUAAAUGCUCAUUUAUAGAGGCGGUCAAGUUAAGAGAGAUCCACUUCUAAAAAUCUAUUUUCAGAGGCGGGAUAUGCUUUGAGUGUCUCCUUAGAUCUCUUGUCUCAUAGAAUCAUUUAUAGAUGCAGUUGGAUAAAAGUACGGCCACUUAAAAUAAAACACCUUAUCUCCUAAAAUUGUUUCUGUAGUAGUGAUAAUAAUUGUCUUAACACGACAAUAUGUCAUCUUUCGCCUAUGUGCAUGUUUCAAUUGUGGUAUAUGGCGUAGAAUAUUAAAUUAAAUGCUCCCAUUUUCAUGUUAUUUGUUUUAAUAUUUAAUAACGCGUGUAUAAUAGAGUGCAAGAAGGUACAUAACCAAAGUCCCAAUAGUUAUGUGAGCAAAGGCAAUAUUAAGCCAUCAACAAUGCAAAAAUGAGUAAAUGACGGUUUGGAAAUUGUUUGCAAUGGAGAUGGCUUCAUUUUUUUCUAACAUAUCAUAACCAAUUAAAGAAGAUUAUUAUAUUUGUCAUCCUCGGGGUCAUGUAGGCGAAGUUUGUUGUUCCAUAUACUUUCGGCAUAUUGUACUGGAGUAAUAUAGCUUUAAUCGAAUUCAAAAGAAAACCAAAGAGUCCACUGUCCGUCUGUCCCGCACAUGCUUUGCAAAACCAGGCUAAGUCUUCAGUAGGGGCUUCCAUGCCCCUCCUGUUCUUUCAAAAAAAAAAAAAAAAACCAGGCUAAGUCUGCUUGCUACCCAAAUAAAAAGUAUGCCCAUGCGGAACUGUGCACCAUUUUUUAUUAGUAUGCUCAAUGCUUAACUCAUAAGAAAGAAGUCCUGUGCUUUUGUGCAGUCUUAUAUAUUACGACCAUUAUUUCCAUGAAAAAGGGUGCACUGAUGCUAAAGCACUGUCCUCAUUCAGUCAAAAUCCCGACGAAAAACAAAGGGACACCAGCUAAUACAAUUCGCUCCAUUAUUGAAAAGGUGCAGUGCCUUUAGCUGAAGUUUCAAGGAUAGUUGUCACCAUGUUGGUCCCGCAUCAAUGCUUAAUUAAGUCCUUCAGUAAUCUGCAGUCAGGGCCUACUCCGGAGGCAUCGCCUGACGGAUUUCCGACAACAGAGCAAGUGGCUGCUCCGUCAGGAGGUGGGCUUCGUAAUUCAAGACCGGAGCGGGCUCGAGUGAGGAACGCUCGCUUCUACGGCCCAGAGUGGAAGGCCCAGUGGUGACCAGAGGGCGUUUAGCGCACAUCUCUUCCUUUUUUUUUUUGGAAUGAAAUGGUUUCGAGUCCUAUAGUCAUCGUUGUUCACCAGUUCAUGGAAAAACCAAUAAAAAGAAACAAAGUGUUUUCUAAAUGACGGUGGUUGGUGGCUGUCUGUCAGUGUUUGCCCUCAGUUUUGGGUUUUCAGCUCGGCAGCGGCAGUUUAUCUGAGUGUCUCUGGGCUGCUGGUGACUGCACAAGUGCUGCCCACUGAGGGAUAGCUUAUAUCUAUUGUAAUGGUAAAAACAGAUAAUUAUAUACAGAUUUAUAGUAGGAUUAUUUUAGAUACCAGACUAUCUUUAAAAGUUGCAGAGGUGGUAAUGUAAAUUUGAAUUUAGGGAUUAUCUUAUGUUGUUUUUUUAUAGUGACAUAUAAUAAGAAUUAUCCUACAACUAUUAUUGUCUCUAGACGUUACCAGAUUGAUGGUGGGACGUCUCUGAUCUCUAUAAGAUAAUUUUAAUAGAGCUUUCUUAUGAUAUUUUUGUAAUGUUUUUAUCAAGUCUCUCUCAUUAGUAAUAGUAAGAUAGUAUAUUAUCUUUUUUUCCCUGCAACUAAACAUGUAACACAAUACAGGUGGGACGACCCUCGAGCGCCCUCCCAACGGGCGACUCGGGGGGCGACGGCGCCACCCAGCUCCCCCCCCUCCUCUCCGGCCCUCCCCGGCCGCCGUCGCCGUGAUCCCGUGGCGGCGGCGGCGGCGGCUGCCCCGAAGUGGCCCCGUGCGCGUCUCUUCCCCCCCCCCCCCUCCCCCGCUCUCCUCCCCCCCUCCACCUCUCCCCCGACGUGUCCGGCGGUGUCCGGCGGCGGCAGGCGGCAGCCGGCCAGAUCCGGUGGGCGGCGGCCGGAUCUGCCACCCUGCGGCGCUCAGGCUUCGUCCCGGCGGCCGGGGGUCGGGGAGGCGCCGCCGUCGCGGCCACGGCCACGGUGUCCCUGGUCGCGGUGCCGUUGCGGACCAGGAGCCUGGCGGCGAGCGUCGCCACCGCCGCGUAGUCGCGCGCGUCGCGGCACGGCGACGCCGGGUCGUAGCAGAGCGCGGAGGCGCAGAGCUCCGGCGUGCUUGGUCCAGCGCCGAGUUCGCCGCCCCCAACCCGGCGCUGGCAUGCCUGGCUCGGCGGUGCUCCUCCCCCGGGCCGGCCGGCGGACCCCGACGGAUGCUGUGCGCCCCCACCGCGCGCCGCCUCUUCCGACAGCGACGUCUUCUGGGAGGAGCCAGACGACGGCUCCGGGAGCGACUUCGAGGACGACGGCCCGGAGCAGAGGAGAGCCUUGCGUUCCCCUUCCUCCUCGCCGUCCUCAAGGCUCGAGGCGGCGCGACAGCAAGAACAGGACCUCCGGAGAGGUUUUGGUCGGGCCGGGGCUGAGCUCGCUCGACUCCGGCGUCCCGCCCCGGUGGCCUUGUGAGGGCUAGGGCGCUGCAGAGGCCGCAACGUGUGCUGCCCCGCACCGUGGUGGUGUGGGUAGCCAAGUUGGCGGUGCGUCAUUGAUGCCAUGGUGGUGUGGGUGGCGUUGCCUCGCCCGUUCACGGGCUCUCUGCACUCGGAAGGGGGCGCUUGGCGAAAGCCUGGCCUUCGGCCGACGAUGACGACGCUUCUAGCGCCGUUCCCCUUCUUGGAGGCAUCUGUCGCUGCGCCCCCUUUCCAACCGGCGUCGAACUUCUAGGUGAAAGCCUUGCCCGUAUGGGCCGGCAAUGGCGGCGCUUCCUGCGUCGCUUCCCCUCUUGAAGGCGUUGUCGCUGAAGUUCUUUCUACGCGUGGCCUGCUGCCCGCGCAGCCCCUCGGGCGUCGUGCCGAGCCUUUUCAUGCCUCUUGCUGCACUCCUCUUAGGUUUGCUGACUAGUGUUUGUUGUACAGUUGUGCUCUUUCCGGUGGAUGCUUUGCCACCGAGGUGUUUCCGGCGGAUGCUUUGCCGCUGAGGUGCGUUGCUUUGCCACCAAGGAUGCAUCUCCGGCAGGUGGGUCAUUGAGGUUGCUGAGGUGGGGACGGAUGCUUGGCCGUCGGUUGGUUGCUUUGCCACUGACGACGCGUCUCCGGCUGGGUUGGUCGUCGAGGUUGCUGAGGUGGAGACGGAUGCUUGGCCGUCGGUUGGUUCGCUUUGCCACUGAGGACGCGUCUCCGGCUGGGUUGGUCGUUGAGGUUGCAGAGGUAAGGACGGAUGCAUGGCCGUCAGUUGCCCCUUAUCUGUUGCGGCUCCGAACACUGUUGACUACCUAGGUGUUGGGUUUUCUUCUUGUUUUUGGCUUAGCUGUUGGGGUUGUUAGGUGGAGGCCCCCUCAUGUUUCUUGCUUUUGUUUGUGUUUUGGGUUUCAAUGGUAAUCCUUGGAUUACCUGCCGUUUCUUUCGGCUCUUCUUCUUAAUGAAAAAUACGUGAAGUCGUGAUCUCGAAAAAAAGGCUACAUAUAUGGCCGCUAACUAUUGGUUUGGAGAUCAUUUGUUACAAGAAAGUAGCACAUAAAUUUGGUUCAUUGGUAACUAAACAGAAGUUAAAUUUGCAUUCAUUAUAUUUUCUGAAUUGAGCAACAAUAGUACAAGGUAAUUACAACACUAAGUACUAUUACUAGUUCAUCGAUGUUUAGUGCGAUGCUAGAGCAUCAUCAGCCUAGCAGCUGUUUAUUCAGACAUCGACGAGAUCUCUGGUGCUCGUACUGACGACGAAUUGAAGAGGUAAUUAACUCGGCGCAUGCAUGUCUCAUCUCAUUCUCAUGGCCUGAAGAAAGCCGGGUGUGGGCGACCGGUGCCCUGGAAGGAGGUGUUCCUGAGGUGCUCCGGUGCGCCCUCGAAAGAGUGGCGCCUCGCCAGCGAGAGGAUCUUCUUGUCGGCGGCGAUGAAGUAGGCCAUCCCAGCAACUGUUGAGAUGAUGAGUGCCUGGCCUGUGGGGUUGAUGUUGGCCUUCGCCCAUGGCAGCAUCCUCACGCUCGCAAGCUGAAGAAGCCGUAGCGAAACGAUACGUAAGUUAGAGACAGAGUUGUUUCCGAUGUACGCGUGCACAAGAAUGCGUCUAAUUAAUCUAUGGAAAAAGAGCUGAGAUUUAGGGCCUGAUGGAAUGAAAUGAAACUCACAGUAGGAAUCGCGGAGGCGAUAGUUGCCACAGCUGCCGCCUUGGCUCCGGCAAGGGUCGCCUCUGCAGACAUACAAACAAGCGUCAGUCAGAGUCAGUGUACAUAGUACAUAGCGCUUCAAGAAGGCUUGUUUGUGCAUGCACAGACCUCGCGAGCAUCGCUUGGCGAGGGCAAGCUUCUGAUCAAGGGAUGCACGGGUCACCGUCGACAUCUCUCGGAUCUCUCUGCGGUUGCAGACUUGGCAAAACAAAUUCUCUGGCUAGUGAAAAGAUGCAGCUCUGUCGUCAGCUGGCACUCUCAGCAGUGAGGUGAGGGGCACUGAAACUCUGAAAGUAUACAAGGAGUGAGCGAGGAUGUGAGGACGAUGGAUGUGUUGCCAGAAGCAGAGGGGGGCCGAGGAUUUAUAGGUGGCAAGGCAUCGAUCAGGGACCCCCAAACGAUCGGCGGACGCGGCCGGGGAGAAGCGGCGGGCGGACAUGGUUUUCAGCUUUCAGGGCGGGGAUUCGUUCCAGGGGACCAUUGUUUCGCUAUCCUCUCCUGGUCCUGGGGCCUGGCCUGCAGCUGCAGAUAGACAGGACAGAGACAGACGUCGCAUGACACCAUGUGCAUGGGAUGGCACUAACCACGUCACCGGCCUUUUGGUGCUUGCAUUGAUCGAUCCCUCGAGAAACUAGUUAGCUUUGAAGCCUAACCACGUGCAGGUCAAUGUUACAGAAACCCAACCCAGGGAUUAAUUACAAUGCUGUGAUGUGGGUACUAACUAGUACGUACUAGCUACGACUCAAGGUUGAAUUGAAGUUGAAGAGAAAAAUUAACAAGUUACCAACCACGACCACUACUAUAUGUGAGUUUGACACGCUAAUGGGAGCCAAGGCACGGCUGAACAUGCAGCACGGUCAGUCCUAUGACGCUCCUGCAUGCGUUGCGCAGACCAAAAGUCACUGGUUAUAUUUCGAACAUUUGGCAGGGUGGUAGUAACUAAAAGUAUUUACUGAUUUAUUGUGAAAAACAGGCUGAACAUAGUGAAAAAUCGACUUUUUUUUUCCCCCGAGGAUGGCGAUCUGGUGUGUUUCCGUGAGGCCCUGCCGGCGUUGCCUUCUUGGGCUGGCGCUCCCAGUUUUCGGCGAGCAACAGCAGGAAACCACUGACGUGAUCUGAUGUGUUUCCGUGGCUGUACCCUCGGUUUUUUGGUGUGUUUUCUGUUGUGUUUCCGUUGCGUAGGUCUCGUCCAAAAUAAUUGAAUACACAAACAAAAUCGUACAAAGACUCCUCAUAUAUCUUUUCUAUCUGAACUUAUCAUUUUUAUUCACUAGCAAGGAAAGUUAUAUUAACAGAUAUAUUACAUCACAAAUUAUGUAUUAAUAAAAAAAACUGAAUAAGAGAUAUACAAUACUGUAUCUAGAACCUGGUUUUGGUUUUGGGCGAAACGAAACCCAUGUGCUGUUGCCUCUUUGCUAUCCAUUCGUAGCUUUAGGUGGUGGUGUGCAUGUAUCUUGGGAUUCCAGUACCGCUUUAGGUGGUACUUGUCAUCACCGUCCAGACUCCAGAGUACAGAGAAACUGAAAACAAAUGCGUGCAAGAAACAAGGCCAGUAGUUUACUAAGAGAUUAGGGCCAUGUUUAGUUCAAAAAAAAUUGCAAAUUUUUUUUCAGAUUCUUCAUCACAUCAAAUCUUACGGCACAUGCAUAAAAUAUUAAAUAUAGAUAAAAAACUAAUUGCACAGUUUACCUGUAAUUUGCGAGACAAAUUUUUUAAGCCUACUUAGUCCAUGAUUGAACAAUAUUUAUCCAGGGCCGUCCCGGCAUAAAUGGGGACCUUGUGCUAAAUUCUAAAAUAGGUCCUAACAACUAACAAAAUACAGUAGUAAAAUAAUGUACUUAUUAUAAAAAGCUUAGAGAUGUUUUAGCUCUCCAAGACUUUUAAAAUGACAUAUAAUUUGGAAUAGAGAGAUUAUGUACAAUGAUCAAGAACUAUACAGAUUCAACUUUUGGUUGCAAAAUUUUUUAAAAUGCAAAAUUUUUUAAAACUAAACAAGGCCUUGGAGACAUGUGAAUCUGACCUAUUGGUCGCUGAGAAGGAAGAGCACCGAUCCCGCUAGCGAUAUGCUAGGGGGUGUUUGGUACUGCUCUGCUCCACGUUUUUUAGCUUUGCUCCACUUUUUUAGCCAAACGGUUUCAGCUCCACGCAAAAAAAAAGUGGAGCUGUGAGAGCACCUAAAUAGGUACUCCACGAACUCCAAUUUUUUGUGGAGCUGCUCCACGACGAAGUUUAUGGAGCAGAGUUCGUGGAGCAGUCCCAAACAUCCCCUUACUCGCUAGUCUCGCACUUAAUUUGACAAAAUUUCCUCUCUCAGCUACACUGUUCUGCAUAUCUACGCUGCUAGAUUCUCUAUUUUUCUUUACUGUUUCAGCUUUCAAAAUGACCAACGAUUUGCUUUUCACAAAACUGGAUUAUUGUGCCGGUUAGAUGCCCAAACUCUCAUGCCUAGAUUCAUGUGCUCAAACCUAGAGAAAGGCCGUGUUUAGUUCUGGAAGGAAAAAAUUUGUGACACUGUAACACUUUGGUUUGUUUAUAGUAAUUAUUGUCCAACUAUGAACUAAAUAGGCUCAAAAAUUCAUCUCAUAAAUUUUGAUCAAACUGUGCAAUUAAUUUUUAUUUUCGUCUAUAUUUAAUACUCUAUGUAUGUGUCUAAAAAUUCAAUAUGACGAAGAAUUUUGAAAAAUUUUAGGUUUUAGUAAACAAGGCCAAAGAAAAACCAUGCUCUACUGAUGGAUGGAGACAUGGAGUGAAGGGUCAAAACAGUCGCACCAACCAGUACGACCGAGACAGUUUGAUGACUUGUCGGCAGAGAAUUUUAGACCUUAUUUAGUUUAAAUUUUUUUUGGUUUUUGAGAUUGUAGCAAUUUUGUUUUUAUUUGAUAAACAUUAUCUAAUUAUGAAGUAACUAGGUUUAAAAGAUUUAUCUCGCGAUUUACAGAUAAACUAUGCAAUUAGUUUUUGUUUUAGUCUAUAUUUAGUGCUCCAUGCAUGUACCGUAAGAUUUGAUGUGACGAGAAAUUUAGAAAAGUUUUUGGUUUUUAGAUGAACUGAACAAGGCCCACAAACCCAGCUACAGUAGUCGACACGCAUGACUGUAGUAACUGCCCGUAAGUAGUAGGCUUGAAACCGUAAAAGUCGUGCAGGGACACUGGACAGAGAGGGGCAUGCAUGCAGAUGCUUGAGUACUACUACAUGUCCGAUGCAGUUUUGGUUUUGGGUUGCAAAUCAGGGACUCGCCGCUCCCAGUUUUCGGCUGGGCGGAGGCGGGGCUGGGGCACCGUGGCGUCUCGGUCUGUGUGUUGCGUGCUUUUGCGCCCACACUCAAUGAGUACGGCACGGAUAGCUUAUCCUCUGCUGUCUCCUGUGAUUUUCAGAUGCAGUCACAGACUCACAGUAGUAGGCUGAUGCUUGAUUAAACAUGUGCAGCUUGUUAUUAAGUUUUGUUUCGUUUUAAAACUAGCAAUACAACUCAGUCUUUCGAAGGUUUAUAUAUAAGGUCUUGUUUAGUUCACCCUAAAAAUAAAAAAUUUUUCAAAAUUCUCCAUCACAUCGAAUCUUGCGGCAUAUGCAUGGAGCAUUAAAUAUAGAUAAACAAAAACUAAUUGCACAAUUUAUCUGUAAAUCCUAAGACGAAUCUUUUAAGCCUAGUUACUCCAUGAUUGGACAAUGUUUUUUAAAUAAAAACAAAAAUACUACAGUGCCAAAAUCCUAAAAAAUUUUGUAUCUAAACAAGGUCUAAGUAUCUGCGGCUCUAUAUGGGUCUAAAAAAAAUAAUAUGUACUGAAUAAAUUUUUCUUUAUAUAUAAGUAUCUGCGUCUCUAUGGGUUUAUUCAUGGUUUUAGGACUGCCUCUUUCUUCUAAAGAGUAAACGAGUCAACCAACUGACCUACCUUUGAUCGUAACCGUUUAAAAGCACCAAAUAAAAUACGGAAAAAAAAACGCUAUAGACUAUGCCGAGUUUCAUGGUUCAGAAACACAAAGCGCCGCAGUACUUCUCAUUAUAUACACGCUUAUUAUUUGGAGCACCGCAAACACAAGGUAAACUACAUUGGCACAAUGCAAGUUUAUCUCUUAUUUGUCUGUAAACUUCGUUUUCAUUAAUAAAUUUUUCUGUAAGGGUGCAAACCUCUCCAGUUUCACUAAAAAAAAUACUACAGUACUCUCUGUUAGCAUGCCCGUCAAUUAAUCUGCAGUUGGCUGAGCCAGGGCCAGGCAGGCAUCGACGCCACAGUAUUGGGAAACCCAGCAGCCGAGCGGACCCGUUUCAAGUGGUGAAAAGUUGCUGGCCAAACUGCAUGCCUUUAGUGGCUAUACUAGGCGUGUGAAUGAUAUAUACGGCCGGAGUAUAUAUGUUGCUGAACUGGGAGUAGGAGAGCGGCAGCUUUGAGCUUUGUCGUCGUCAGUCGUCACAAUCACAUACAAAACUGUGGUUAGCAGAGACACAGGAUUUUGUGAUUCCUGGUUGUUGGACCGAGAUGAUAAUGAUAUAUGAGUAUGACCGAAUAUCUAUCGUGAUCGAGUGGGGGAGUUAGGUGGCAGUAUCAGCAGCACCAAACUACUAUCUUUGUCUAGCUAGUACUCUAGCUAGUCUACGAGUAAAAGGUUGGAAAGCGCCCAAGAAAACUGUGCUCAGGCUUGUUUAGAUAUACCAAAAACUCAAAACUUUAUAAAAUUUCUCAUCAUAUCGAAUCUUGCGGCACAUGCAUAAAACAUUAAAUAUAGUUAAAAAGAUAACUAGUUACACAGUUUACCUGUAAAUCACGAGACGAAUCUUUUAAGCCUAGUUGCUCCAUGACUGGAUAAUAUUUGUUAAAUAAAAACAAAAGUGCUACAGUGUCAAAAUUCAAAAAGUUUUUGAUCUAAACAAGGCCUAGUACGUGGACUAGCUAACGCGCGUAUGGCGCAUCAGCACAAUAUAUAUGUAUAUACAUCGAUCUGUUUAUUGACCAGGGACGACGAACUUUUUGAUGAGAUACCCGUAACCACGAAGUUACUAAGACGGCCGGCUUAGUUAGUGCAAUACAACGUUUCAAAGAUCGAUCUUCGACACUGCUAGUAGUCAAAUUUCAAGACGAAUUUGCUAGUAUAUUACAUCAUCAAUGGAUUUGCGGUGUUGCAUUGUUUGCAUAGAUUCGGCAUCGACCUCCUGCGUUGUUACGUACAUGUGUGGGGGACUCGGGUUUCUUGGUGUGGAACUUCAGCCAGCGACGUCACUCACUGACCGACCUUUUCCCGUUUUUUUUUUCAGGCGUGGACAUUAGGCCGUGUUUGAUUCCACCACCGCGCAUGACACCAUGUGCAUGGGCCCAACUUUAAGGCCUAUUUGAAACUACUCUGUUUCACUAACUCUAUUAUGGAGCAGUUUUAGGCCUUGUUUAGUUCUGAAAAGUUUUCACUUUUCGGUACUGUAGCACUUUCGUUUGUUUGUGACAAAUAUUAUCUAAUUAUGGACUAACUAGGAUCAAAAAAUUUGUCUUGUGAUUUACAGCUAAACUGUAUAAUUAGUUUUUGUUUUCGUCUAUAUUUAAUGUUUCAUGCAUGUGCCACAAGAUUCGAUGUGACGGGGAAUCUUGAAAACUUUUUGGUUUUCAGGGUGAAGUAAACAAGGCCUUACUGUAGAAUUUUUGAAGCAAAUGUGUUUUGUUUGGCAUGCAGCUCUGCUCCACCUUUGGUGACAUGAGAUUUUGGUGGAUGUCCUUCUAUACCCUUAGCAUAUCCAUCAUCGGCAUCUCCAUCGCCAUAUACGUGGUAACACGGACGCCCAUGACCCAAGAGGUUCUCCGACUCACUUGGGCUCGCCAGACCCAAUGGAGUGCACUGGGUAGCCAUCCUUGGUUCUCUUGGAGCACUAAGUUGUGGAUUUGGAGGCCAUUGUAGGAAGCAAGCAAGUGGAGGUUGUCCUAGGAGGCUGCAAGUGAGUCACAAUGGGAUCGAGCGUGGCCGAGGGCUAGCACAGCUAGGGUGUCUCUUGCCGGUGGCGGUGGGGUUGAGUGCAGCCAGGGUCCGCUCGCCGGUGGCAGAGAGGCCGAGCGUGGUUGGGGUACCGCUCGCUGCUAGCGGAGGGGGCGAGCACAGCUAGGGUGCCGCUCGCCAGUGGUGGUGGGGUUGAGUGCAACCGAGGUCCGCUCGCCGGUGGCAGAGAGGCCGAGCGUGGCUGGGGUACCGCUCGCUGGAAGCGGAGGGGGCGAGCGCGGCCAGGGUGUCGCUAGCUGGUGGUAGUGGGGCUGAGCGUGGUUGAGGUGCUACUCGUCGGUGGAGCACGAUGAGGGCCAGCGCGACCGAGUGCGGUGGGGAAGAAGUGUUGCAGGCGAGUCGCGACUCGCAAGAGGGAAGAACGGGAGAGAAAGAACUAAAGAAAGAAAGAAAUUGUUUUCUUUGUGUAAUGAGUGACAUUGGUUGGUAAUAUUUCCACAACUCCACGAGAAGCUUCAAAACCUGAUUUUCUAGAGUAUCCUUUGAGGUGUUCGAGGAAAAAUGUAAAGUUGGUCUUGAACUUCACCUUUUUCUUAGAGCAGAAGUUUAGAAGUUGGAGAUGGUUCGGCAUAACAAAGUUGGAGCAAGGCUAGAAAAUAUGGAGCAAAAAAGUGCCAAACAAACUCUUACUACUAGUUCUAGCACUUGCCACGUCACCGGCCUUGGAGCUCGAUCGAUCAAUCCUAGCGAAACUAGCUAGAUCAGGAGGGAAGAGGGAUCUUUUGAAGCCUAACCACGUGCAGGUGAAGGUUACAAAAACCCACGACUCAAGUUUUUUUUUUAAUCAACUCACGCCUCAAGGUUGAAAAGCGAAGAGUAACAAGUUACCAACCACUGUUGGGAGGCAAUGCCAGGCACGGACGUCUGUCUAUGCCCUGUCUAUCUGCAUUCUGCAGUGCAGGCCAGCCAGGAGUGGAUAGCAAAAGUCCCCCCGGAAAGAAUCCCCUGCACUGCAGAUAUGGUGGGCUCCGAAACCACGUCCGCGCCCGCCCGCCGCUUCUCCCCCAUCCGCCGAUCGUUUGGGUGCUCUGAUGCCGCCUAUAAAUCCUCGCCCUCCUCUGCAUCAGAGGCAACACAUCCAUCGUCCUCACUCCUCACAUCCUCCGGCGGUGCUGACAUACUGUAUCUGCUUCUUUUCACUAGCCAAGCCAAGUCGGCAACCUCAGAGAGAUCCGAGAGAUGUCGACGGUGAGCCGUGCAUCCCUUGACCAGAAGCUUGCCCUCGCCAAGCGAUGCUCGCGAGGUCUGUGUAUGGACAAACAAGCCUUCUUGAAGCGCUAUGUACUAUAUGUACACUGACUCUGACUGACGCUUGUUUGUAUGUCUGCAGAGGCGACCCUUGCCGGAGCCAAGGCGGCAGCUGUGGCAACUAUUGCCUCCGCGAUUCCUACUGUGAGUUCCAUUCCAUCGGGCCCUAAAUCUCAGCUCUUUUCCAUAGAUUAACUAGACGCAUUAACUUAUCGUUUUGCUACGGGUUCUUCAGCUAGCGAGUGUGAGGAUGCUGCCAUGGGCGAAGGCCAACAUCAACCCCACCGGCCAGGCCCUCAUCAUCUCAACGGUUGCCGGGAUGGCCUACUUCAUCGCCGCCGACAAGAAGAUCCUGUCGCUGGCGAGGCGGCACUCGUUUGAGGAAGCUCCUGAACAUCUCAGGAACACCUCCUUCCAGGGCACAGGUCGCCCGCACCCGGCUUUCUUCAGGCCAUGAGCCUAUGAGACAUCAUCCGUCGACCUACUUCUUCUUCAUCGUCGAUCAGUACAAGCACCAGACGAUGCCGUCGAUGUCUGGCUGUCUGAAUAAUUGAACUGCUAGGCUCUGACGCUAGUAGCGUACUGUAGUAACCAUCGUGCGUGUACUAGUAAUAGGAGUCUAGUACUAUAUAUCGCGCUGUAAUUAGUUUCUACUAUUGGUGCUCAUUUCAGAAUGAAUGCAAAUUUAAUUUCUGUUACCAAUGGCAACGGAUCUAGUGCAAACUCAUCUUCCGUGCAAACUAUGCAAACUCUAAUCUAGACCGCAGGAUGUUAGUCCAAGGGAGCGCAUGAGAGAGGUGGAAGGAGGGGUUUGUAAAAGUGUGAUUAAGAGCGGGCGGUUAAGUGCAAAAUGACCCAAUCUCUCCGCGCCCUUGGAUCAACAUCCUGCGGUCCAGAUUAGAGUUUGCACAGUUUGCACGUGAGAUGAGUUUGCACUAGAUCCGUUGCCAUAAUUUUUUUCUGCAACUACAAUGUAAAUGGCCACUAUUUUUUUUGAUGAAGAUGGUAAUAUUACAAAAAAAAGGGCACAUAAAGUAGGUUAAUUGGUAACGGCAACGGAUCUAGUGCAAACUCAUCUUCCGUGCAAAUUAUGCAAACUCUAAUCUGGACCGCAGGAUGUUAAUCCAAGGGAGCGCAUGAGAGAGGUGGAAGGAGGGAUUUGUAAAAGUGUGAUUAAGAGCGGGCGGUUAAGUGCAAAAUGACCCAAUCUCUCCGCGCCUUUGGAUCAACAUCCUGCGGUCCAGAUUAGAGUUUGCACAGUUUGCACGUGAGAUGAGUUUGCACUAGAUCCGUUGCCAUAUAAGAUAAUUCCUAAAUUUGAACUACAUGACCAUCACUACCAUUUUGACAAAUGUCUUCAGAAUUCUUGGUCUGCGCAUGCAUGCAUGCAGCAGUGUCAAAGGCCAGUGUCACGCGUGCCGUGGCUCCCAUUAGCCUGUCAAACUCAUCACGGUAGUGCUUGGCACGGUUGGUGACUUGUUACUCUUUUCUUUUCAACCUUUUUUUCUAGUAUAGCACGCAGAUGCCCAAGCUAGUAGUAGUAACCCCACAUGACAGCACGAUAUAUAAAUAUAAUCCCUGGGUCGGGUUUCUCUAACCUUCACCUGCACGUGGUUAGGCUUAAUUAAAGGCUAAACAGUAAACCCUGGUUGGAGUAGUUUCAUGAGGAUCGAUCACCGACCGCGACCUCCAACUCCAAGGCCGGUGAAUUGAAGUUAGUCCCAUGCACGUGGUGUCAACCGACGCCUGUCUCCAUGCCGACCAGGACUCAGGAGUGGAUAGGGAAGCGUGGUCCCCUGCAGCUGCAGGUACCAUGAACGAUCGAGAAGGUGAACGGCAGCAACGGCAUCUAUCUAUCCUGAAAACUGCGUGCAAUCCCCUGAUCUCCACCGGCCAGUCGGCUGCCACACCACACACAUGAGCAUGAGCUCCAAAACCAUGUCCGCCUUCGCCCGCCGGUUUUUUUCCCCCGUCCGCCGCCGAUCGUUUGGGUCCCCUGCUGACGCCUAUAAAAUCCUCGGCCGGCCUCCCCCCUGCGUUCGGCAACACACACAUCCAUCGUCCUCGUCCUCGUCCUCACAAACUCCUUGUGCUUUCAGCGUGCGUGCCACUCACUGCUAAAAGAGCUGCUUCUUCUCACUAGCCAUCCAGCCUUUGUUUCCUACAAUCCUACUGUAACUUUCAAGUCUGCAACCGCAAAGAGCCGAGAGAUGUCGACGGUGAGCCGUGCAUCCCUUGAACAGAAGCUUGCCCUCGCCAAGCGCUGCUCGCGAGGUACGUACGUGCGCUAGUUUACACAUACUGCAAGUAGCUGGCUGGAAUCAAACAACAAGCACAGUGUAUGUACACUGACCUGACUGACGCUGGAUCGUAUGCAGAGGCGACCCUUGCCGGAGCCAAGGCGGCAGCUGUGGCAACGAUCGCCUCCGCGAUUCCCACCGUGAGUUUUCACAACCACAAUUUUCAGCUGUUUUUCCAUGAGAUGAGAUGAGAUGCAGGCUAUAGCUGGCUCACACGCGUAAUCGCGAAACUCUACACCUAUACGUCUCUAACUGAUCGUUUUGCUGCGGUUCUUCAGCUGGCGAGCGUGAGGAUGCUGCCAUGGGCGAAGGCCAACAUCAACCCCACCGGACAGGCACUCAUCAUCUCCACGGUUGCUGGGAUGGCCUACUUCAUCGCCGCCGACAAGAAGAUCCUGUCGCUGGCGAGGCGGCACUCGUUCGAGAACGCACCGGAGCACCUCAAGAACACCUCCUUCCAGGGCACCGGCAGGCCACACCCGGCCUUCUUCAGGCCAUGAGAAUGAGAGGAAACAUGUGUCGAGUUACACUCGUCAGUACAAGCACCGGAGAUGAUGCUGUCGAUGUCUGAAUAAACUGCGAGGCGGACGUACGGUCUCGUAGCGCGCGCACUAAUCAUCGAUGUACUAGUAAUAGUAUUCUAGUAGUACGUAUAUACUAGUAUAUAUGCGCUGUAAUUACUUUGUGGUACUCAAUUUCAGAAUGAAUGCAAAUUUAAUUUAUCUUCCAAAUUAACCAACUUUAUGUGCUGUUUUCUUGUGAAAAACAUCAUCUUUACCGUUAGUGGCCAUAUAUAUUGCCUUUACAUGGGAAAAAAAAUACUAUCUUACUAGUAUCACUAACUAUAGAGACUACAGACUAGACAGAGCCUUUACCCUACCCCUUCAUCAUAAAAUAAAAAUUCAAGGUACAAAAUUAUCAUAAACACCUCUGAUCAACAGUGGGGAGCACGUAUAUAUGCAGUCACCAGCAGCAGGCGGCCCACGGAGAGAGACCGAGAGACGCGGCGCGCCACUCCUACAGCAGCACCUUGAACGAGCCUAGCUAAUGUUGGAUGAAUCAACAACCUGACAAACAUCGCAGUGAAAGGCAAUUCCAAGGUGUUGUUUAGUUCGUAAAAAGGAUUCGUCUAUUAAAAUACAUGUAAAUUGUGCGGUUAGUUAUUAUUGUUUAUUUAUAUUUAAUACUCCGACCAUACUUCCAGAUCUCGAUUGAUACAGUUAUUAGAAGCAAGCAAGCAGUCUCUCCUUUACUAGCGCAAAUUGAUCAAGCGUUGGCAAAUCAAUGCAGUCUCUCUCGGGUGCUACUUCAGUGGAUUCCGCGAGCCAGUCCGUUUCGCACCGGCCCAGCGCACCGCCGCGAAUGGGCCCAACGAUAAGAAAGAAACAUAGGCCUUGUUUAGAUGCAUCAAAAACUCAAAACUUUACAAAAUUCUCCAUCAUAUCGAAUCUUGCGGCACAUGCAAUGAACAUUAAAUAUAAAUAAAAAAGAUAACUAAUUACACAGUUUACCUGUAAAUCACGACACGAAUCUUUUAAGUCUAGUUACUCUAUGAUUGGACAAUGUUUAUCAAAUAAAAACGAAAGUGCUACAGUGUCAAAAUCCAAAAAGUUUUUUGAUCUAAACAAGGCCAUAGAUGCCCAAAGCUCCGUCGUGUCACCCUAUUUUACUUAGGCCUUGUUUAGUUCGGAAAACUUAAGUUUUCGGAACUGUAGCACUUUCGUUUUUAUUUGAUAAACAUUAUUCGAUCAUAGAGUAAUUAGGUUUAAAAGAUUCAUCUCGUGAUUUACAGAUAAACUGUACAAUUAAUUUUUAUUUUCGUUUAUAUUUAAUGCUCCAUGCAUAUGUCGCAAGAUUCGAUGUGACGGGGAAUCUUAAAAAGAUUUUGGUUUUGGAAUGAACUAAACAAGGCGUUAGCUGAAAAGCCUCAAUAAAAAAUAAUGUUCGCUGAUUUAUUAUAACUUAUGAAAGAAAAAAAAAUACUGUUAAAUAACAGAACUCGAAUGAACAGAGCCCGAACGGGCUUUCACACAUGGGCCUAAUCAACAAAUAGGAUCAGAUGCGCGCGAGCAUUGGGAUUUGGGACUGACUGCGCUUCCUCGGCAGGCUAGAGAGGAGACCAUUAAUUUUUAAAAAUUUAUAUAGUUUCAUGUCAUAAGAUUUAUUUUUUAGUUUUUUAUGAGAAAUACUAUCAUAAUAUGUACAUAUUUUGUGAAAUUAUAAGAUUUUUUCAAAAUCAUUAGUCAAAGAUUGCAAUAUUUAACUUAAGAUAAAUCAAAUGUGACACUUAAUAAAAAAUGGAAGGAAUACUGUACAGCAGCACCAGUGUUAGAAAGGGAUAUAAUAGAAACACCAUAUGUAGACCAUGCAUGCUAGUUGUGACACUAUGCAGAAUACGUAUACGGUGGAAUAACUUAUAAUUUGGGAGGGACGGAUGGAGUACAAUUCUAGUGUAUUAUAAAAUUAUCUAAAAUUAAAUUGAUAAAAUUAUCUAAAAUUUUGUAAUUUUGGCCAAGUUUGUGAAAAAGUAGCAUGAAUACUUAUUACAUCACAUAAGUACAUUAUGAAAAUACUUAUUCGAUACUAUAAUUAUUGAUAACUUUUUGUAUAAAUUUGGUCAGACUCAGGACACAGUUUGACUCAGCUCUAUUUUAUAAUUGCAUUUUUUUUACAACGGUCAUACACAUCAACAAUGUAUAUACAUAUGUAUAGAUUUCGGAUCGUGUAGAUGUUACUAAUUGUGCAACAUUAGAUCCUUGCAGGUAGAAUUUUGCGCCAGCAUGUACACAAGAAUGUACUAUGUAUUUACAUACGUGUACUGUAGCACCGUAAAGUAUAUAGUGGUAUGCAGAAAUAAAGCUGCUGGACGGGCCAUGCCGGCCGGCGGAUCGGAUCUACGCAUGGAGUUUGUGGGGGUGUAGCCAUGGAAUGGAAACCUCGCCUUGUGGGGGGCCAGCUAGCUAGCCGGGGAGCGAUCGAGCUACAAGAGCUUGUAGCUAGCGAACUAGCUAGGCGGCGUUGCCGAGGUUCUCGAAGCUCCAAUCCCGGCGCAUGCCGACGCUGCGCCGGAGCCGGGGGCCCUGGAUGAGCUGCGACACCUUCAACUCAUCCACCGUCGACUUGCACUUGCGCACCAUCUUCUUGUUAUUACUCCUCCUGCUGCUGCUAUUGCUGUCGCUCCUCAUCGUGGUCGUCGUCAUCGCGGCGGCGCUGUCGUCGUCGUCCUGCUUGUCGUCCUUGCCGUUAUUGGAAUCAUGGUCAUCGCCAUCAUCCUCUUCUUCGUCGUCGUCGUCGACGGUUGCUAGCGUCCGCAGCGGCGCGUACCGCGGCUGCGCGAGCCCGUCGGAAGCCACGCCACGCUGCAGCGCCGUGCAGCAGGUGGCCGUCUGCGGCUGCGGGACGUCGUAGGGGUCCACCGCGUCCACGUCUCCGGCGACGACGACGACGGCCCCCCGGCGGGGCACUUGCAGGCUGGUCAGGUGCGACGGUAGGUUGCUCAUCCUUCGAUGUGAUAUAGUCAGUAAUAAUCUUCUUAUUGUUCACUGCUCUCUCCGAGAUGUUUUAAUCCGGAUGCAUAUGAUAUGAUCGAUGCAAGCAUGGCACCGUACCAGAGAUGAUACAGGAGGCCAGGCUAAUUUUGGAUGAACUCCUUUUAUUGGCAUCAUAUCCCACCAAAAGUGCUAGAUCUCAAAUAGACAUCCUUAAAAUAGCUUAGGUAUGCUGUUUUCAAUGCAAUUCAGGUGAUAUGUGCUAUGAAAAAAAAACAAAGUAUAAAUACAAUUUGACCCAUUUUUUAAACGUGCAAUGGCUUUUGCACUUUUGUCGUCAUACAUGCACGUGUAAUCAUCAUUUCCACUAAAAAUGCUUGCAACUUCUAGAGCCCCUUUAUAUUUUUGUUCAAAUUGAUAUGAAUAGAAGUUUUAGUAAAAAAUUAUUCUCCAACAUUUUUUUUAAUUUGAAUUCGCUAGCAAAAGAUAGAGAACAGAAAUGACUUUCUAAAUUAUCGUGCACAAGUUAUCAGAGGAUGAAAGAACACUUUUAUUCAAUUGGCCUUUUAAGAGCAACUUUAAGAGACUCCUAUAUCCUUUUUUAUUCAAUAUAAAUAGAGGUUCUGGUGAAAAAAAAAUAUUCUUCAACGGCUUCUCUAAUUGUGUUUCUAAAUAUUAUCAUUCUUAUUUUUAAUUUCUCACUAGCCAAAAAUAGAGAGUAGAGAUGACUCUUUAAAGUAUGCAUGAGAUAUAAAAAAGUUAGUGAAGGAUGAAGAAUCAAUUUUAUUUAUAUAGCUUUUAAAUGAUGAUUUACAAAAUGUUUUAAAAAACUCUUGAAGGUGCUCUAAAUGAUGAUAUAGAAAAUGAUUUUAAAAAAACACUUGGAGAUGCUCUAAAUAAUGAUUUCGAGAGUUGGUUUUAAAAGUACUCCUGCAGAUGCUCUUAAAAUUAGUAGGAAACAUAAUAGCUUCAUCCCACUGACAAUCCUGCCCGUUCCUUGCUUGCUCAGCGUCCAUCGCCGCCGUACAUCAUAUCAGGCUGCGCGUCCCGCGCUCGCGCCGCAGCCGCCGCCUCUCUCGCCGCUAUCCCGUCUUGCCGGGGCCGCCGCAGCCCAGCCUGGUGCCCUCCGAGCUAGGCUUCGGCGGCCGCAUCCAACUUCCCCCUCCCGUAGAUAAGCCUAGCAAUCAGUCGAGCGGCGCGGGACGCGGUGGCGGGGGAGACCACGUGCGAGGCUGCGACGGCGAGGAGCUGCCCUGUCCAGCGGGGCUGUGCCUGUGCGCGAGGCGAGUCAAGCGGCACAGGGCACGGCGGCGGCCAACACGUUCGAGGCGCGGGCAGGUAAUGCCCGUCCUCUUCCCAAGUGGCCAAGUCUACAGUCGCCGUCAUGGCCGUCGCCGUCGACGUCCCCUCCUGCAUCCAGCUCCUCCGCUCCUGCAGCGCGGCCGCUGGCCGGCAGCUCCACCAGCUCCUCCUCAAAUCUGGCCACGUCCCCUCCUCCCUCCCACCCACCAACUCCGUCCUCCUCAUGUACGUGCGCGGCUCUCCGCUUUACUCCCGUGACGCCCACCGCCUGUUCGACGAAAUGCCCACGAAGAACUGCUUCUCGUACAACUCCCUCAUCACCGCCCUCUUUAAGUCCGGAGACCACCGCGCGGCGCUCCGCGUGUUCCGCUCCAUGCCUGACAGGAACACCUUCUCCUGGAAUGCGGUGAUAACUGGCCUGGCUGGUGCUGGGGAUCUUGACACUGCGCGCGACUUGCUGGAAGAAAUGCCCGUGAAGGAUGCUGUGGCUUGCCACGCUGUCUUGCAUAGGUUUGUCCGCUGUGGCCGAGUGGAUGAGGCAUUUGCUCUGCUCAAGAGGAUAGGUUCGCAUUGCAAUCCUGAUGUGAUCCCGCCAUGGAGUGACCCCUUUGUGCUUACCACAGUGGUUGGUGCCUGUGCUGAUCGGAUGAAGUAUGAGAUUGGGAGGCAAGUUCACGCCCGGUUGGUGGUUGCCAAGACCGAAAUCGAUUCGGUAUUGGCUUGCGCAUUGAUUGACAUGUAUUGCAAGUGUAGGGAUUUGGACUCUGCUCGCCUUGUUCUUGAUAGAUUAAAACAUGUCGAUGAAAUUUCACUGUCUGCACUGGUCUAUGGCUACGCAUCCUAUGGACAGUUGCACAAGGCAUUGUGCCUUUUUGACAAGGUGGAGAACCCCAGCAUUGCUCUAUGGAAUUCUCUUAUCAGUGGCUGUGUCCCUGCUUAUCAUGGAGAUAGUGCUUUUGUUCUUUUUGUAAGGAUGUUGCGGUCAGACAUGUUGCCUAACUCUUCAAUUUAUGCCAUUGUUCUGAACAUGUGUGGCUUUUUAGGCAUGCUGAAGCCUGGGCAGCAGACACAUGCUUGUGCUUUAAAGAGUGGGGCUGUCAAUGACUUGAUAGCAGCAAGUGCUCUCAUUGACUUCUACUCGAAAUGCAGCCUCUGGGCAGAUGCCUGCCAAGCUUUCGGUGAACUUAGGCAUCAUGACACCAUUGUGCUCAACUCGAUGAUCACUGUAUACUCAAACUGUGGCCAAAUAGAUGAGGCUAGAAGAGUUUUUGAUAUGAUCCCUAGCAAGAGUGUCAUCUCAUGGAAUUCUAUGAUUGUUGGGUUCAGCCAAAACGGGCAUGCUCUUGAUGCAAUGGAGCUGUUCUGUGAGAUGCAUUGGCUUGGUUUGCAGAUUGACAAUGUAGCUGUAUCUAGUGUUCUGAGUGCAUCAGGCAGCAUCUGCUCUAUAAGUUUUGGUGAGCAGAUUUUUGCUCUUGCUAUUGCACUUGGCCUGCAGUCUGACCAUAUUGUAGUCUCCUCACUCAUUGACCUCUACUGCAAAUGUGGCAACUUGGCCAAUGGAUGCAGGAUAUUCGAUGGAAUUGAUAAUCCAGAUGAAGUCUUGUGGAACUCAAUGCUUAUAGGUUAUGCUUCUAACGGGUAUGGACUUGAGGCACUGAAAUUUCUAGAUUUAAUGCGAAGUAGGGGUCUGAAACCAAGUGAACGGACAUUUGUUGGUGUCCUUUCUGCAUGCUGCCAUUCUGGGCUUGUGGAAGAGGGACUGAGAUGGUUUUACAGGAUGAAGGAAGAUUUUGGCGUGAGUCCAUCAGCUGAGCAUUAUGCGUGUGUGACUGACCUGUUAGUUCGAGCAGGCCGACUGGAUGAAGCAGUUGAGUUCAUAGAGAACAUGCCUUUCAAAGCUGAUGCAAUUAGUUGGACUUCUAUUAUUGGAGGAUGCAAAGCCCAGGGCAAUGAAGCUCUGUUGCACAAGGUUGCAAACAAAUUGAUGGAAACAGGAUUGUCACCGCAUUCUAGUUUGUAUGUGCAGCUGUCGAGCACACUUGCAGCUCAUGGGGAUUGGGACAAAUCAGCAGAGAUUAGGAGUAUGAUGCAUGACAGAAGAAUCUCAAAGAACGCUGGCUGCAGUUGGAUUGACAGGGCAUAGAGGAAAUUACUAAUGUCACCUCCCACAGGCAUCCCCGUCUCUUUCCUCUGGGCCUCUCCCUAUUGGCUUUCUUCAAUGUGUUUUUCCGCUAGUCAGGUAGUGGUAACAAACAAUGAUCCUGCUAAAAUAUGUGCUUUUGAUCAUUGCUUAGUUGGACUAUAUGAGGCGGUUUCUUGGACGAGGAUUCCUGAAGCAUGCACAGGUUAAUAUAAGCAGAAUCAUGCACAUAUUGAUAUCUGUAAAUAUUGUAUUUUGGUGUAAUAAUAGUGUUAAAGCUUCUUUUUGUCUGUUCUGCACAAAGUGUGCAGGCCAAUGAUUUUCUCCAUGAUAUAUUGAUAUCUUUGACAUCAAAAUUGACUGUACUGAAAAUGUGUCGACCACCGAAAAGGUAAGCCUUCUGCAUAUAAUUUUCUAAUGUUAUUCAUAGGUUAGUUUGUAUGGCUGUGUUGUUGCACACCUUGAAGAUUAUGGAACCAAAAGAUCAGGAUUACUGUCACUUCGGUAAUCAUCUUCAGUAAUGAUCAUCAAUAACGAUUGCUUAUGACAUUGAGUGAUUUUCAAUUUUCUGUUCAGUAAUCUAGGUGGCUCUAGCUGCACCCUAGGUGUAGAAUAGUAUAUUUGAGAAUUACUGUUGAAACAAUCACAAGCUUUGGACAUUUUAUAUUGUACUAUUUCUAAGUUGAUUGAAAACCAAUCACCAGUACUUGUAUUUUGUUUAGAUAGCCAUGUAGACAUGGUCAGAACUCUAAAAUAAUUAUUUGUUUGCAUUCAGAAAAUCUGUAGAUCUAAAGAUGAGAAAGGAAGAGCUCUGAAGUUGAAUAAAGAACGCGGUCUAGCCCAGGUAAGCUGUACUUUGAAGAGCACCUUUUGCAUUUUGGUUGACCCUAAAUGCUAGUUAUGCAUGCACAAAGGAGGCUCUUGUGUUUACUCAAUCACAGUUCUGCAAUUCUAUUCGGCUCAUGGAUGCUCCCGAAGAGUAAUUUCGUGGAAUAUGUUGUUUCUGGAAGACAUAGAGGUUGAUCAAUUCUCCAGAAUAGUUGUUUUAUGAACAAUUCAGACAUUUAUGUGAAAGUGGAUCCAAAUUUUUAUUUCUUUCAGCAACCCUUGAGAGGCUGGACCGCUGGACUACCUACAGCGGCCAAAGCGUGUUUCAUCUCUGGGAGUCUGGGGUGCGCACUGGCAAUGAUUUCAGGUCGACUGGUCGAAGCUGGUCGCUCUAGGACCGACCAGGCGAUUAAUCGAGAUUAAUCGUCGACCAGGGCGAUUAAUCGCCCUGGUCGACCCUGGUCGUCCACCUGGUCGUCCAGCUAUUUCAAGGCAUAUAUGCCUAUAUAUAUAACUCUAUAUAUACUAUAUAAUAUACACAAUCAAGCUAGCAUCAAGACUACAUUAGUGUUUAGAUAGUGAAUUACUUGUGGGAGUUGGUUUCUUCUCUUUUCUGCACUGUCCAGAGGUCCAUAUUGCUGUCCCAAACCCCCCCCUGCAGCCCCUCUAUUCUAUCUAAACCCUAACAGGCCAAAAACUUAAAGCCCAUUAGCCCACUCCCAGUUAGAAAAGGCCCAAAAAAACAGAAGCCUGGUCGUCCAUCUUACCUGGUCGUCCGAUUAAUCGGACGACCAGCUUUCUGGUCGAACUAAUCGAGUCGGACCUCCUAAUCGAAUCCUAGGAGCGACCUGGACGAUUAAUCGCGAUUAAUCACGAUUAAUCGGACGACCUGAAAUCAUUGCGCACUGGGCAUAAGAAACAGACUCCGGCAUCAAGCAAAGAGAGCGCCCACUGUACAUGUGCGCGCGGCCACAUCGGACUAUGGGAAACGUCAAGGGGCUGUCUGGUUGCCCGCAUAUGGGUGAACCAGGCCCCCAGGAUGCAGCCUGUCCCUGUUUGGUUGCCUGGUCUUGCACCUGAGCCUGGCUGAGCGCGUGCAAAAACUCCUCCAGGGCCUGGCUCCCAAAGAACAUACUUGCACACAUUUUUAUCAAUUUUUUUCUUAAAAUGAGGUCUUAUUCUUUUUGAAUCCGCACUAGCUUUAGUAGAUCAACUAUAUUAGCAUAUUAUAUCAUCUUUUUAGGUUCUCUGUAACAUACUAAUUUGGAAACACUGAUUAUGGCACACCUAUUGAAUUUCUGAUACUGCAGGCAAUCAUUUUUGCGAACGUACUUGCAGGCAUCUUGAUUUUGCUAUUUGAGUUAAUUACCUAGUGCUUCUUGGUCUGCUUACUGCUGUUUAUCUUUAUCAUGAAUCUGUAGUUUAAUUUGGAAAAACUCUAUGGCUGAAGGUUAUAUAUGUUUCUUCUUGUGUUCCAUGUCCAUGUGAGCCUUGCUGUUAUGAAGAGCUCUAAUGAACCAUCCUUGAUGUUGCCCUGUUUGUCAUGGUGAAUACAUAAAAAAUAAGUUGCUCUGCUUCAAGUAGAAUUUGUCAUUUCUUAGUUGGCUUUCUUUUUGCAUUCUGAGACAGGUUGGUUAUCCUGAUUUUGGGCAAUGUUCUGUGUAGCUGGUCUUUGUAUGACUAAAUCUUCGUGUUCUAUUAUUGUAGUGACUUUGUCCUUUGAUUACAUCAGUUUGGAAUUCAGUGAGCUUUACAGUUGACCAACUGAUACCAGGUUCCAUUUAGCUUCGGCCUGUCGAUGAAUCACUUUAUUAGAGUUCUAUAUGAAUUAUGAUUUUUCUUACAUGUGUCUUUUGCAUCAUUAUCCAGUUAGAAAUUCAUUUUGAUUCUUGUGUGGUUCAUCUGGACUAAUAUCCAUUGUUCCCUCCAUAGGAAGCUCCUGCUGUGAUUCAGUCAUACUACAACAAAAGGAUCGUUGGUUGCCCUGGUGGUGAAGGAGGUACACUACUGCUCUGCUAAAUACCCCCCCUAGUCUUUUCCAGAAUUCGAAUCCUUGCCUGUAUAAGCCUUGGUUUUUCCCUUCCCCACACCCCACUCAGUGGUAGCCUCCAGCACUGGGUCUACCCUUUUAAUCUAACUUGUCUAAUUGGCCUAUACUGCACUUGUGAACCUUUCACAGAAGAUGAACAUGAUGUGGUGAUGGUUUUGGUUGGAGAAAGGCAAGCCACAUGAAUGCCCUGUCUGUACUCAAUAUUUCACGGUAUGCUGUUUACUCUCGACAUAAGGUGCUUGCAUUCCAAGAGUAGUUUUUAGCAUGAUGAGAUGCUGUACCUGUUGUGAUGAAUGCGCCCUCACUUUCACUGAGGUACAAUCUUCAUCUUAUUUCCACAGCUUGAUGUGAUUGGGCAAGGAGGAUCUCCAGAUGGACAUGAUGAUGACGAUGACGAUGACCACCACCACCACCACCAUCACUAAGGAUCUGCAGCUCAUGGCAAUAAAAUGCAGUGCCAAUACCAUUUUGGCCACAGCCUUGUGAAGCUGUGCAGAACUUCAGCCUCUUGGCCUUGUGGUGUUCAGUAGACCUGACCAUGUCAACCUGUCUGUUUGCCAAUUGCCACACAGCUAGGAAGCUGGAACAUCACGUGGUUUUUGUUACAUGAUCCUUGCAGAAACUCGGCUAUUAUAAAUAAUGGGAUUCAUUACACAGCGGUGUCCUUUUGCUAUUCAACAUUCUGUUGAAACAAGAUAAAAGAAAAAACUUACUCCCUCCAUACCAAAUUAUAAGUCAUUUCAAGAAUCUUGGAGAGUCAAAGCAUCUCAAGUUUGACCAAAUUUUAGCUCUUGAAGCUUCUUUUUCAUGCAUGCUGUCAAUUUUGAACAAAAGGUCUUAGGCUGUGAUUUUUCAUUCCUGCUAUCAGUUUCAUGCCAGUUUGUGUAUUAUUGUGGAAAGCAUAUCACAGGUGUAAACUGGUGACCAUAUCAACCUUGGUGUAGGCAACUAAACACAGUUCCUGCUGCCCAGUUUUUGAAUAAAAGCAAAUGCAGGCAACCAAACACCACCUGGAGCUAGCCUGACUGUUCUCAUGCAUGCAACCAAACAAAGGGGUGUUGCAUGCAUUGAGCCUGGCCAAAGCUGGCCUGGCUGACUGGUGCGAGACUGGCUCCCAAACAGACCCCAAAUGAAGGCACAUACAACACACGAGGUGCUCCAGUCCUAGAACUUUAGUCCACCUAUUUGGUCAAAAAGACAUGUGUGUUAUAAACUAAUAAUGAUAAUAAUUGGAUAGGAAUAUAUUUGAUAAUUGGAUAGUAAUCAAAUAGCUGUGCGCCUUAUAAAAGAUUCAAUUAGUCCACCUAUUUGGAUGAACUAUGACUAUAUAUUGACUAAAAGUUUAGCAAAUAGCAAUUUCUUCAGUGUAAUUGAGAUCGUACAUGUUUUUCCCUGAAACAUUGACAAAUAACGUACAUCUUCCAUGCUCAUGGUCUUUUUUUUUCCAAAAUAACAUGUAAUCGAAUAACACAUAUGCUUUUUCCCUGUGACAUUGUAAAAUGUGUAUUUUUUUUUGGCUGAUUCUGUUAUUAGUGGAUUUUGGUGUACACUUCCAACUAGCUAGACAACCUUAACUAAUUUAACAUAAUUUUUAGCCUAGCUAGUAACUAGCUCUAGCCAAUGUUAUCUUAAACGCUAAACGGUAAACAGUCGGUCACCCUUCGUUUAGCGUUUAAACUGUUUAAACGGAUUAAAACGGUCUAAACGGUUUUACACAAUAUUACAAAAAUGUGCAUAUUUUUUAAUGUAAAAUCAAUCAUUCUAUCAUUUAUACAUAUUUAUGCAACUAAAAUCCAUUUAUUUUAUUAUGUAUAUAUGUUUAUGCAUGUUAGAAUAUUUAAAUAUACAUAUUUAUGCAUAUAACAAAUCAAUUUUAUAUAUUUAUAAAUAUAAUAAAUUUAAGUAUACAAAUUGUUAAUAUAAAAUUCAACUAGAUUCACCUGGUGUUUGCCUAAACGGCCGUUUAAACAGCCGUUUAACACCGUUUACAACCGUUCCGUGUAGGCCGUUUAGACCGUUUUUCCCGUUUUUUGACCGUUUAAACGGUCAACGGUUUAAUUUCCCGUUUACCCCCUAAACAAAACAGUUUGCCACCGUUUACCGUUUAAUCGGCCGUUUAGGCGAACACUGGCUCUAGCUCAUCUAAACAUGCACUUAUAGCAGGACCGCCGGCCUUGGCUAGGAUCGCUCCCCCGCCGCCGGUGAUGAGCAGGGCGGCUUGGGGGAGUUGCUUGCCGGCGCUCGCCGGAUCUUGCAGGGAGGCCGCACAAGGGAGGGAGUCGCUGGCGAGGAUCCAAACCUUGCUCGCCGCAUUUCUCCAGAGGAGGGAGGGAAGGAGGCCACGCCGAGGAAGGCCCACGAGGAGCCACGAGGGCGGAUGAUGGUUGGUGGCGCAGCCUGGUGCUUGGCGUGGAUGGCGACGGUGGAGGCUCAUCGCUCGGUGGCUCGGCGGGGACCUGCGGGAUCUGCUCGGCACUCGGAGGCUCCGUUGCAAGGGCUAUCCUCUUUUGGGUCUGCUGUUGGAAACUAGAAGGUUUGUGUGUGUGACCCUUUUUUCUUGCAAGACCCAAAGGAAGGAAUGUAUCUUGUAUUUGGGUGAGGUCUGUUAGGCCUUGUUUAGAUGCGAAAAAAAUUUGAAUUUCGCUACGGUAGCAUUUUCGUUUGUUUGUGGUAAAUAUUAUCCAAUCAUGGACUAACUAGGAUCAAAAGAUUCGUCUCGUGAUUUACAGUUAAACUGUGCAAUUAGUUUUUAUUUUUAUCUAUAUUUAAUGUUUCAUGCAUGUGCCGAAAGAUUCGAUAUGAUAGGGAAUCAACUUUUUGGUUUUUAGGGUGAACUAAACCAGGCCUAAAGAUGGUCUAAACAUGGGCGCCCCUAAAGUCAACGCUGUGGCAAUAGAAGAGGCGGAGCGAGGUAUUCCUAGCUCUGAAAUGAAACAAAAAGGAGAAAAUUGUUCACCUCAGCCCAGCAAAGGGCAGGCCGACAAGUUGCGUCUCGGCCCAAUCCGAUCUAACGUGGGGAGGCACGCCCACGCCGUGGCAGUGGAAGUGGAACCUUCUCGCCUCCAUCCUCCUCUCCCCAUCCCAGCAGCCACUCCCCACUCCGCUUCCCGUGGCCGUGGUUCAAAUUUCGAAUCCAGAAAGAUAGAUUUCCCCAAGCAUUUCCGGUUCUGUUUCUCCCCUUUCUUUAAACCGUCCAAUCGUCCUCCCCUCGUGCUCGCCUCGCUCGUUGCGCGUUCAAAUUUCAAACCCCCUCCUCCGCCUCCUACGCCCCGAACCCUAGUCCUCCUCCUCCCCUGCCCCCGCCGCGCACCAUGAGCUCCGCCGCCGCGCCAGCUGCCGUCGGCAGCGGCAAGGAGCUUGCGAACCCGCCGGCCGACGGGAUCUCCAACCUCCGCUUCUCCAACCACAGCAACAACCUCCUCGUCUCCUCAUGGGACAAGGUCGGUCAGUGGUGGUCAGCCCAGCCGCCUCCCCUCCCGUUCCCCCGCUCGUCCUUACUAAACCCUAGCUAGCUCUUUGAUCCCGCUGAUUAUGACCUGGUUUGGGUUUGGGCUUGCAGACGGUGCGGCUCUACGACGCCGACGCCAACGUGCUCAAGGGGGAGUUCGUGCACCCCGGGGCCGUCCUCGACUGCUGCUUCCACGACGACUCCUCGGGGUUUAGCGCCGGAGCCGACCACACCGUGCGGAGGUGAGCGGUUUUUCUUUUAUGUGUUGUUAUCUUUGUCUCUUCCAUUCCUGCUUUACUGCACACCUUGCUCUGUGUCGAAUUUCGGGAUCGGGUUGGUGAUGUGGAGCACAAGCACUGCAGCUGCGAAAUUCCAUGCGGCUGUGUGCUUUGAGAUCACACUUUUGUUAUCCAUUUGGGGGAUCGGGUUUGCUGUGUCACAUGUAGUUCGAGAAUAUUAUUAUUAUUUCCUCCUGUUGAAAUGUCUUUUGUGGUGCAUCUGAUUUCGAAAUUAGAUCCACUAUUUUCUGCGACUUGCUGUGCAGUAGAUUUUUAUGUUUCUUUCCUUUCACAUAAAUUAGAAAAGAUGGCGACUUGUUGUGCUCUAUGAUUUUUUCCACUGAUGAUUUUCCAUAGCAAUAAUUAACCAAAGAAUUUUAUAGUCAAUUUUGUACUCACAGGAUUCUGUUCUAGAAUUAUACAGUUGUGUUGUGUUUAUAUUUAAGUUGGGAAAUAUCUGGUCCCGUCCUUCUAAAUUUUUCCAACUGUUCAUGAAACCAAAUGUUAGUGUUUAUGUUUAUUGUUGGAUGUGAAUCGAGUUCUUCAUGUAAGAUGGACAGUCAUUGUGCAUAGUUUGUCUCAUUGAAUGUUACUAGUUUCAUAAUUGGUAGCUUGUAAAUAAACUUACAUUUGCAUUUUUCUGGGAUCCACUUAAAUGGAAAUCAGAAUAUCUGAUUAAUGAAUGUUACUCGUUCCAUAAUUAGCUUGCAUGCAAAUACGCUUAGAUUGGCCUUUCUUGUAUGUAUGUGAUUGUGAGCACAAGUAAUGGGCGCAAAUUAUAUAUUUCAGGUUGGUAUUUAGCUCGAACAAGGAAGAUGUUUUGGGGCGGCAUGAUGGUCCGGUUCGUUGCGUGGAAUACUCUUACGCUGCAGGUACUUUUAUUCCCAUAAUUGCUUUCGGACUUCCAUUGUAGCUUUUACUUUUCUUCUACAAGGUACUUGUGCAGCCUGAUGCAGUUAAAAACUAUGUAAAUAACUAUUUUCGUACUUGAAUUCAGAUAACACUAUAUAUAGUUAUGCAGUUAUGUUUUUUAAAGUAUUUAAUCCUAGGACAAGGGACAAGUUAUUUUCCUAUUACUUGAUCUGGUACAUGGAUUUGGUUCUGCAUAGUUUACACUUUACAAUGCCACAGUGCAUUAGAACCUUUGUCUCUUAAUUUGUGUUGAGAGUUGUACAGAUGUCCUUGUCAAAGUCAUGUCUUUAGUACUUAGUUUUUUUUGUUUCCUUUUUUUUUGUCUUGGAACAUUUUGUAGUAUUUCAGUUCUCAGCAAAUUAACUACGCACGGUCCUCAAUUUAAUCACAAUCUCUGUCCAUCGUGGCAUGUUUUUGUUCUAUGAUGAUUAUGGUCAUGUGAGAUUAGUUGUUACCUUGCUAUUCAAGGAAUUAUGUUACUAAACUAAAUGAAGUUUUCUAAGCUGAUGAAAUGCUCUGUUGUGCUUUCAAUAAAUCUCUGGUAGUUGAAGUUAAAUAAUGAAAAACUAUAUAAUGCACUUGGCGUUCUUUUACAUACUGUACUUGAUCUGUUGUGCUUUAUCAGUGACUACCUAAUGGGUCUGUAUUAUACUGUUUGUUUUGUUUUAUUUAGGUCAAGUCAUCACUGGCAGCUGGGAUAAAACUGUAAAAUGCUGGGAUCCAAGAGGAGUGAGUGGACCAGAGCGUACCCUUGUUGGGACAUAUGCUCAACCUGAACGUGUAUAUUCUCUUUCAUUAGUAGGAAACAGGUUGGUUGUUGCAACAGCAGGAAGGCAUGUAAAUAUUUAUGACCUGCGCAAUAUGUCUCAACCUGAGCAAAAAAGAGACUCUUCUUUGAAAUACCAAACACGAUGUGUUCGAUGUUUCCCCAACGGAACUGGUAAUUGCUUCCAUCUUGAUUAGGUUGCUAGUUGACAACACUAAUUGUAUAUUCUGUUUAUAUAGUAGAGCAACAGUAAAUAUAUCAAUAAUCAAUUUGCAUUCAUGGAUUUCCUUUAGCUCUUUUUUAGUCUGCUAGUGCAACGUUUCUGUCGAUACUUGUUUGGUUGUCUUUAUUUGUGAUGGGGGCUUUAAUCUAGAAUAAAGAUUAGGGGCGCCUCAAGAUUCUGUCAUGGCCCAACAAGGACAUGGACCAUACAGGGCCAUGACAGGUUCCAUAAGUUCAGUUCAAUCUUUAUUUAUGAGUUUGAGUUGAGGAUUAUUGGGUAGGUUCCAUAGGUUCAGACAUUGAAUUUGCUCUGUAUGUUUAAUUACAAAAUCAAAUAAUAUAAAUCUGGACAGCAUGGUUAGUGUCUUUUAAGUUGUUACACAUGAAUGAUAAGGAAACCUAUUAAAAAUGUAGCAUUAAAAUUUGUUUCUGUAUUUUUUAUAGUAUGUUUUUUUGUCACAUAUUAAGCUGGGGUAUUGGAAUUUUCUCUGUUGAUUUAACUUCAGUGAAUAGAGUUUUCUGGUGCUCUCUGUUGUCUGUCCGCGCCUUGAAAUUUCAAGUUGCAACUUUGUUUUAUUUUUUCACUUCUAGUUAUUGUUCAUACUAGCUUUCCAUGAUCUAUCUUCCAAAGCAUGGUAGUAAUAAUCCAGAAUAACUAUGCCACUCUUGGUACCAUGCUGUGAGAGCUUACUCUUGAUUUCUUGUAUUAGAAUUCAGAAUAUUCUUCCGAGUUCAACAAUAAUUACUUAUUUACAUUCUACUAAAAUUGUAAACUAGUGUCUGUAUAAUGAAUUCGUAUAUUGAUUGUUUGAUGCACCGUCUUAUUUAGCCUUUUCUUAAAAGGGCAUUACAUCCCUUACUUCUACCAAUAAGGGCUUGUUCUAUUUAGUUACUACUUGAAACAUGUGUAUUUGGGAAGUGUUACCCCUGCUUUGAAAAGUCAUGUGUUUGUCACUUUUGCAAAAUAUUCGUCGAGGGUUGGGUGGCCAAUUCAAGUGAGUCUUGUUUACAGGAAACCUGCUGAUUCAACUACAGUUUGAUUGCUGUUAGCUGCUCUGUAAUGGUCCAAGUAGUAUGGUGCGGGCAUACAGCUUUCAGUUUUAGUUUUUCCAGGUUGGACGACUGGUCUGGCCUUUUUUAAUAAUUAUAGGCAUAUAGUAUGCUGUACAUUUAUUGUUCAAUAUUGUUUAUUUAGUUUUCAAGUUAUUGUAUAUGAUGUAUAUAAACCAAAUAUCCAUGCUGUAUGCUGAUCUCAGUCUUUUGUGUCUUACUUCAGGAUAUGCUCUAAGUUCUGUUGAAGGGCGAGUUUCCAUGGAAUUCUUUGAUCUAUCCGAGUCUGCUCAGUCUAAAAAGUAUGUUUUCUGCACCUUAGCUGCCAAAAGAUGGGCACAUGUCUGAUGUCUUAUAAUUGCUUCAUCAUACUAUAACUUAAAUGUACAUGUGGUUCCUGUAGCACCAAUUGGAACAAUGAAUAGUGAAACUUCAUUUGCAAACACACCUUGACAAUUCACUAUAUAUAUUUUUUGAAGCUUAUGGCAAUCUGUGCUCAUACUUACGCUUGAACAUGCUUGCAAUUCAGUUGGAAUGCUGGUCAAUUUGUUUAUGUUAUUCAAAGAAAGAUUGGUGCAAUCUAUGUAGUAUCUGUGUCAACAUUUUAUAAUUCCAAUUCAAACUAAAAAGUGUUAGAAGAAUGAAAACAAAAUUGCCUGCAAACAGUAACCUUGCUAUUUCCUUUUCCUGUUAUUUUGACACUUUUUAGAAGUUUGUGUUUUUCAUCUCCCAAAAGAGAUUAUCACUUAGAAAGUAAAUUGAUCCUUUUCCUGGCAGUUUCUAGUUGUUUCCUAAGCUAAGGUGGAUUGUAUGAUCGUGUCUGGUUAGUGGUUACAAAUUGCACUGGAUAUGUACCAAAUACAAACUACAUGUUUUGUGUUACUAAAAGUAGAAAUGACACUAGUGUACACACACCUUCUGGAAACCUAGACUGAACAGUAGUACCUAGGGAUGUAUGUUCCACUUGUUUUGGGUCAUUGGUAUCCACUUUCAUCUCUAGUGCCAUUGAUCGUGGGCAAUUUUUCAUGCAGGUAUGCUUUCAAGUGUCACCGGAAAUCUGAAGCUGGCAGGGACACCGUUUAUCCUGUCAAUGCAAUUGCUUUCCAUCCCAUGUAAAGCCUUGCUGUUCCAAUUUCUUGGUAGUUUGGUAUCUCACUGGAAUAUUAGUUCUCAUUUUGUUGCCCCUGUGCAGAUAUGGAACAUUUGCCACUGGAGGGUGUGAUGGAUUUGUGAAUGUGUGGGAUGGCAUUAACAAGAAAAGGCUAUAUCAGGUAAACCAAGUGAAGAGUUUUGCUUCAUUGGGAUGCUACUGUCUGAAAUCUUUCUUGUGUUCAUGAUUUCCCUACUUUUGAUUGCAGUACUCGAAGUACGCAUCAAGCAUUGCUGCUCUAUCAUUCAGUAAGGAUGGCCAUCUGCUUGCUGUGGCAUCCAGCUACACCUAUGAAGAGGGAGAAAAAACGUAAUACUGAACUACUUCAUCUGACAAAUCUUUGUUUACAUAAGAUUAAGAAAAAAAAAUGUUGACUCACCAUUGUUUUUGUGCAUUUCAGGCAUGAACCUGACGCUAUAUUUAUCCGGACAGUGAAUGAAGUCGAGGUGAAGCCGAAGCCCAAGGCAUUGGCUGCCCCCCAGUAGUGUUGUGACUUGGUGGCGGUAUCAGUCACAUGGUUAGAUGACCCGUACUUCUCUAAGAGUCUAAAGUUGAUGUCAAUUGCAUUAGUUGACGCAGAGCUUGUUUGUGUGGAAAGAAGUGAAACGUCUGUUUCUUAAUCUGGUCCUUCAUCUUUCGUUUUAGUUGUCCGUGGAAACAUAUCAUGUUCCAGCUGAUUGUAUAUUCUGAGACAGAUUAUGUUUUAGUUUAUUCGAUUCUUCGUUGACCUUAUUUAUCAAAUAUUUAAGUAAUCGUAAGCUUGGAACCUGGAGGGAAGAACUAUGCUGGAGGGGAGUAUUUGUAAUUCCUGGCUUUGUUGUAACGAUGCCUAUUUAUUAGGAGUUGAAGUUUGGAAAGUGGAGGGAAGGACUUGUACCGCGCAGGCAAACGGCCAGUUAACAGAUUAUUGUCCUUGAAUUGAAUUCCAUCAAUUCUGUGAUCUGCUCAAGUGCUUCGUUUCUGUGACACUGUCAUCACUCAGCAGCAAACCACCCAAGACACUCCUUUGCAGCUGGAUGGUGUUGGAGCAUCAUGGAUUAAUGGGGUGCCCCUAGGGAUAAAAAUGGUAAGAAUAUUUUCCGAUAGUAUUCGAGACUGAAUUUGUUUCCGUAUUCGAGUUUAAAUGUUCAACAUCCGAUACCGUACUUGUAUUUGAAUACUUAAAUUGUAUAUUUAUAAUGUGGCUGAUACGGAAACAAAUUCAUCAUGGUUGAUAUCAUGCGUAUUUGAAUCGGAAUCUGACCAGAAAUAUGAAAACUAAUAUGAUAUUGGUGAUAUCUGUCAGUAUCUGAUCCGUUUUCAUCUCUGCUGCCCCAAUUGCCGAUUGGAAUUAAUGAAGAGCUACUAGCCAUUUUUUGGAAUUGGAAUUUUACAUUAAAAAUUAGAAUAAAAAACUUAGAAUCGUAUUAUGUGCAUAACCAUUGAUGGCAUUUCAGUUUCUUCCACAGUUGCAUCUCAAUCUUCAGUGUCGCCAGUCAGCGUGCAACUGAACUUGGCUUUGCCGAGGUCGAUCUGCGCCUUCGUUUCAAUGAUGAUUGCACUCUUUGUCAGAUUGAGGGCUGUUUGGUACAGCUUUCAUGAGCUAUUGUGAGCUGUUUUUUUUUUCAAACACUUAUUUCCAAAACAGCUUCAUGGGUGAAGCUGUUUUUUCUCUCCACUCACAGAGACAUAAGUUGGGAUGAAACUGGAAAAAAAAAGUAGCUUAUUGUAGCUUCUUUCUCAUUUCUCUCUCAACUAUUUUGCUAAACAUUUUUUCCAAAACAGCUCAGCUUCAUCUAGAAAGUCACUCAUGAAGCUAUUUUCUUAAAAAAACAGCUUUAGGCCCUGUUUAGAUUCCCACCCAAAAAUUUUUCAUCCAUCCCAUCGAAUCUUUGGACACAUGCAUGGAACAUUAAAUGUACAUAAAAAAAUAAACUAAUUACACAGUUUGGUUAAAAAUCGCGAGACGAAUCUUUUAAGCCUAGUUACUCCAUGAUUAGCCUUAAGUGCUACAGUAACCCAUAUGUGCUAAUGACAGAUUAAUUAUACUUAAUAGAUUUGUCUUGCAGUUUCCUGACGAGCUAUGUAAUUUGUUUUUUUAUUACUUUCUAAAAACUCCUCCCGACAUCCUUCCGACAUAUCCGAUGUGAUACCCAAAAAAUUUUCAUCUCCAAUCUAAACAGGCCCAGUAAAGUUGAUGUGUGCCAAACAAGCCUGAAAAGUCUGAAACCACUCACCAAGUCAGCACACAGCCACUGCCACUCCACUCUCGGUCUCGGGUAGUCCAGUCGCAGCAUCUUGCACACAUCCUGGUGGAGUCGGGAGUCUUGAACUCUUGAAUGGCUGAUCGAUCGCUACGGAAUUGCCGCGGCGUGCGCUACCGCCCGGACAGGUAGGAGAGCGCGAACGAUUCGCCCAUGCUCAUCGCCGACGACGCGGCGGUCCCCGCAGAGCCCGGUCCCGGUGGCAGCGCGGGCAGCCCGAACGGGCCGGCGCCUGGGUCGAGCGCGAACAGGUCCACCAGGACCAUGUCCGACGGCGGCGGCGGGUCCACGCUCGCGGCGGCGCCGCCACCCCUGGCCUCGAGCAUCUCCACGACGCGCGCCAUGGUGGGGCGCGCCCCGGGCUUCUCCUGCGCGCACCACAGCGCGACGUGCGCGAGCCGCCUCACGCUGGCCUCGUCCACCGCGGACGAGACGAGCCGCCGGUCGAGCACCUCGACCACGCGCCCUUCCCGCGCCAUGUCGGCGACCAGCUUCGGGAAGUAGGACCACCGGCGGGACCCGCCGCUGGGGCCAGGCUCGGCCUGCAGCUGCAGGUUCCGCCGCCCGCCGAGGAUCUCCAUCAGCACCAUCCCGUAGCUGUACACGUCCGACUUCUCCGUGACGCCGGCGCCUAGGAGCCACUCCGGGGCCAGGUACCCCGUCGUGCCGCGCACCGUGGUCACCACCCGGCUCUGCUCCUUCCCCAUCAGCGUGGACAGCCCGAAGUCCGACACCAUCCCGCGGAGGCGGUCGUCGAGGAGGAUGUUCUCCGGCUUCACGUCCAGGUGGACCACCUUGGCGCGGCAGUCGUGGUGCAGGUACGCCAGCGCCUUCGCCACGUCCACGGCCACCUGGUACCGCUGCACCCACGUCAGGCACCGCCCGGCGGCGCCGUGCUGCGGGAAGAUCCACUUGUCCAGGGACCCGUUCUCCAUGUACUCGUACACGAGGAACCGCGGGCCGUUGCGGACGAGGCAGAAGCCGAGGAGACGGACCAGGCUCACGUGCUGCACGCUGCCGAUGGCCGACACCUCCGACCUGAACUCCUUGUCCACGUGCGCCGACCCGUCGAUCCGCUUCACCGCCACGGACGUGCCGUCGUCGAGGAUGCCCUUGAACACCGUCCCCGACGAGCCCCGCCCCACCACGUACUGGAAGCCGUCCGUCGCCGCCGACAGCGCCUCCAGCGAGAACCUGCUGGGCAGCCCGGCGACCUUGCGGAAGUAGCUGUACUCCACGCGCACCGCCGACACCUCCUCGCCGCCGUCCAGCACCGGGCGCCGCGCCAUGCGCUCGGCCCGUCCAUGGGGGCUUAGCGCGUGGUGCAGCAGCACCGUGACGGUGCCCGCCAGCGCGGACGACAGGAUGACCGCCGUCGAGAGGUAGAACGGCCUCGACAAGCGGAAGCAGAGGAACAAGGUGAACUCGAGAGCCACAAGCACGACGGCCGCCGCGCCGGCGAGGACCUUGGCCUUCCUGCCCUCCAUAGAUCACGCCAGUGCCAUCACCGCCCGGCGACGUCGCGGCUUUGCCACUGACUUGACCUUCCGUUCUUGCACUUCGUCGUCGUGUUCGGACUAGCUUUGAUGUAAUGCUUAGUAAAUAUAGAGAGAUAAGUAAAGGUUAUGCAGUGCUUUGACGAAUUUAACGACAGUGACGUCUCAACCAACCCAAUGCGGAACAGUGGCCUUUAUAUUGGAGUUGCAAACUACUGACUCGAUCAGACAAAGCCAAAGGAUAGUGGUAGCCUGAUAGGUAGAAGAACGGUUCAGAUGAAGAAUUGGGUUAAAUGUCAGUGCAGAUGGUACCACGUCAUGGCGAAUUACUCCUAAAUUUCGUUUUGCAUAGAAGAAACUAUCACUUUGGUUCACUUCCAUGGUCAAGUUGAGGAAAGAGCAUACUACUGAUUCAACGGCAAGAAUGACAUCAGUGUAUAGAGAUUUGUUUGGUGUCGGUGUCUGUAUUUUGGCCAAAUCCAAAGUUGAAUGUUUCGUCCAUGACGAUUCAACAUUUAAGCAACAUCACUGAUUCAUCCACAUUGACAUUUGGAAACCAUGGAUCAAUGAGAAACAAUAUUGGUCUUCUCAAAAUAAAGGACACAAAAAUUAUCUUUGACCGUUUCGUUGAAGCCACUGCUUAUCUGAUACAUUCUCAACUGCAGCUGCAAUUUCAAUAGAUCAUGGUGUGAGCAAUAUUCAGAUAAAUAAAUUUAUCUUUUAUCUUGUUUCAACAGAUUUGGUAAGGGCGACAGGGGAACAUAUAUAUAUAUAAUCAUCUUGAUAAAUAAGUUUUUCUUUUAUCUUGUUUCAACAGAACGUUGUUGAAUAGCAAAAGGGCACCGUUGUGUAAUGAAUCCCAUUAUUUAUAUAGCCGAGUUUCUGUAAGGAUCAUGUAACAAAAACCACGUGAUGUUCCAGCUUCCUAGCUGUGUGGCAAUUGGCAAACAGGUUGACAUGGUCAGGUCUACUGAACACUACAAGGCCAACAGGCUGAAGUUCUGCACAGCUUCACAAGGCUGUGGCCAAAAUGGUAUUGGCACUGCAUUUUAUUGCCAUGCGCUGCAGAACCUUAGUGAUGGUGGUGGUGAUGGUCAUCGUCAUCAUCAUGUCCAUCUGGAGAUCCUCCUUGCCCAAUCACAUCAAGCUGUGGAAAUAAGAUGAAGAUACAGCAUCUCAUCAUGCUAAAAACUACUCUUGGAAUGCAAGCACCUUAUGUCGAGAGUAAACAGCAUACCGUGAAAUAUUGAGUACAGACAGGGCAUUCAUGUGGCUUGCCUUUCUCCAACCAAAACCACACCACAUCAUGUUCAUCUUCUGUGAAAGGUUCACAAGUGCAGUAUAGGCCAAUUAGACAAGUUAGACUGAAAGGGUAGACCCAGUGCUGGAGGCUACCACUGAGUGGGGUGUGGGGAAGGGAAAAACCAAGGCUUUAGAAAAAAAAAUCUUGAUAAAAUACAGGCAAGGAUUCAAAUUCUGGAAAAAACUAGGGGGGAUAUUUAGCAGAGCAGUAGUGUACCUCCUUCACCGCCAGGGCAACCAACAAUCCUUUUGUUGUAGUAUGACUGAAUCACAGCAGGAGCUUCCUAAUGGAGGGAACAAUGGAUAUUAGUCCUGAUGAACCACGCAAGAAUCAAAAUGAAUUUAUAACUGAAUAAUGAUGCAAAAGACACAUGUAAGCAAAAAUCAUAAUUCAUAUAGAACUCUAGUAAAGUGAUUCAUCGACAGGCUGAAGAUAAAUGGAACCUAGUAUCAGUUGGUCAGCUGUAAAGCUCACUGAAUUCCAAAGUGAUGUAAUCAAAGGACAAAGUCACUACAAUAAUAAAACACGAAGAUUCAGUCAUACAAAGACCAGCUACACAGCACAUUGCCCAAAAUCAGGAUAACCAACCUCAGAGUCUGAGAAUGCAAAAAGAAAGCCAACUAAGAAAUGACAAAUUCUGCUGAAGCAGAGCAACUUAUAUAUUAUGUAUUCACCAUGACAAACAGGGCAACAUCAAGGAUGGUUCACUAUAGCUCUUCAUAACAGCAAGGCUCACAUGGACAUGGAACACAUGAAGAAACAUAUAUAACCUUCAGCCAUAGAGUUAAACUACAGAUUCAUCAUUCAUGAUACAAGCCUUAAAAUUGAAUUGUUUAGGCAACAACGACAACACAAAGAUAAACAGCAGUAAGCAGACCAAGAAGCACUAGGUAAUUAACUCAAAUAGCAAAAUCAAGAUGCCUGCAAGCACCUUCACAAAAAAGAUUGCCUGCAGUAUUAGAAAUUGAAUAAGUGUGCCAUAAUCAGUGUUUCCAAAUCAGUAUGUUACAGAGAACCUAAAAAGAUGAUAUAAUAUGCUAAUAUAGUUGAUCUACUAAAGCUAUUGUGGAUUCAAAAAGAAUAAGACCAUUUUAAGAAAAAACCAUUUGAUAAAAAUGUGUAAGCAAACACUAUUAUAUGUCAUGAAGAAAGGGUCCCGAGCUAGAAACUUUUUUGUGAGUCAAAGCAAGAGUUAAGAUAACAAAUUGCCAUUGAGGAACUUGGAUUGGCACGCACCCAACAAACUCAGUUGCCAACCCAACCCACAACUAUGAGCAUGUACUUAAUCACCAAGCAGUACUUAAUAGAUCAAAAAUGAUUCAUUGGCCUCGAAACUACAGCCAUGACUGAAGAAAACGAUCUAUACAUGUGAGCUGUGACAUAUUUUCCCCAAAGAAACAAAACAGUUCCAUUGACUUUUCAGCUCUUAUCCCAACAUCUAAAAAUGUGUCUUCUCCAAUUCUACGGUCUACGUUCAAACAGCAUUUCAGUUUAGGCAGACAAAUAAAUAAAUCUAAACAAACAAUGUCAUCCACAAGUGCAAGUCAGAUGACCACACAUUGCCAUGUAGGCACACUCUCACGACUCACGAGUUACAACCCCAUCCUGAGCAAUCAAUUCAGAAAUCCCAAUUGCUCACGCUCCAAAUGAAAUGUAGAAGAUAUCAAACCGAAAUCACCCACCUUGGUGCCAAAGGGACCGACGGGCGCGUCCAUGUCAAACCUCUUCUUCCCCUGAAUAGAAAAAACAACCAAAUCCAACAAAAAAUUAAUAUUUUUGACAAAGAAAUAACCCCGUAGUAAGAAAUGAAGCGGCGGCAAAGCAGCCAUGCGGGGGACCUGGAGUUCGGCCUCGAUCUCCUCGCGCUCGAGCCCCGUGGCGAUCGGCAUCACGUCCUCCACCCUCGUCCUCGUCCCCGCCGCAUCUGAGGAGAAACGCAAGCCUUCGCAUCAAAUCGGGGGUACCGCCUAAGCUUGUGACUUGUGAGGAACACAAGAAGAGUCGUCACCGAGAGUAGAGAAGAAGAGGGGUGCCGGCGCCUGCGUGCGGGAGAGGCCAGAAGCGGCGGCGGCGGAGGCCGCCGGGGAGCGGGGUCCGAGGGCGGAGCGGUGGUGGCGGAGGAGGAGGGAGGUGGCGCGCUUCCACAUGGCGGGCCGGUGAGGCAGCGGCGGCACGAGCGGGCGGUAGAGAUGGUGGUUACACACAGAAUCCGGCCAACUUGGGUGUUUUCGGCCUAUAGACCGCCGGUGUGGGGGGACCCACUUGUGGUGUAAAAUUUUGCAAAUUUCAGCAAAAUGUCUAGAAAGAAGCCGUAAAAAAUUGUAAUAUUUCUAAACUUACUCCGAAACAGCAAUUUAUUGGCGAUCAGUUUGCACUUGCAACUUGCGACUAAUGACUGGACUUUUGAAAUAAUUAAUAUUAUACGAAGUGGACCUUUUUUUAAGGAAAACAAAGUGGACAAAAGACGAUGCCGAGGUCGUGUUUAACUCAAUAACGAUAUUUUCCUCUUCUAAUAAAUCAGUGAACAGUAUUUUUAAAUAUGACUUUUCUAACCAGCGAAUAAGCUUAAAGUACUACCAUAGGCCCCAAAUACAAUGGGCUUCGAAAGACUUUUUUAAAAUAGUAUUAGACCAACUCCAAAAGUAUCUUGAUUCUUUCUAAUUGCUCCUAAUCGAUAGAAAUAGAGAUUUUUCUAACAAAAUAUCCUUCAAUAUAUCUUUAGUUAGAUUUUGAAAUACAUUUAUCAUCUUUUCGUGAGAAUGGUUCUAAAGAAUGCGCAAGAUAUAAAAAAAACCUAUUGGAAGGUGGAAAUUCAAAUGGAUCUUCAAGUGAUAAUUUAGAGAGUGAGUUUUUUAGAAAAAAAAAAACACUUGAAGAUACUCUUGCUAGAUUAGUCUAGAGAAAAUUUGCACAAAAAUGAUAUCGACUAACUUCAAAUGAGCAGUAACUAUAUAUAUCGUUGGCACUCAUAAAUCAACUACUAUAUCAUAAUGUAAUAAAUAUUUUUAUUUGAAAAUACGUGAUAAAUUAGGUUAACCCAACAAAAGACUUAUUAGCUCAUUUGCAUUAAAGAUAAAUAUUAUGUUUAUAUUUGGAACCAAUAUAAUUAUAAAGCAUUAAAGGUUUAAUAGAAUUUUGAAACAUAUUCAAACCAACAUUUUUUUAAUGAGAAAGGACUCUAACUCCCUAAAAAAGGACUCUAAAGUUUGCUCAUAUAAAGGUGAUAAUCCUUUAUCUUUCUGUUUUACCUUUUUUAAGGCCUUGUUUAGUUUGCAAUUUUUUUGGUUUUUGCUACUGUAGCACUUUCGUUUUUAUUUGACAAACAUUGUCCAAUCGCAGAGUAAUUAGGCUCAAAAGAUUUAUCUCACAAAUUACAGAUAAACUGUGUAAUUAGUUUUUAUUUUCGUUUAUAUUUAAUGCUCCAUGCAUACGACCAAAGAUUCGAUGUGACGAGGAAUUUUGAAAAUUUUUACGAACUAAACAAGGCCGGACAUGACAAGUGCCCGAAAUUUUAUGAUGUCACCCAUGCUUGUUUGUUACAGUAUACUAGUCCAAAAGUGAAAAUUGUAAUGUGUUGCUGACGUUGGGGCACUUUAGAUGUGUGAACAUGACAAUCAUUCAGACCAUGUUUAGUUUCGACCUAAAAACUUUUCAUCGUAUUAUAUCAAAUAUUUGGACACAUGCAUACCACAUUAAAUAUAGAUUAAAAUAACUAAUUGUAUAAUUUAUAUAUAUUUUAUAAGAUAAAAUUUUUUAAGCUUAAUUAAUUUAUUAUUAAAUACUAAUUGUUAUAGUUACAAAUACGAUUCAGUACAAAAAAAAACUUUUCUUACCACGAGCUAAACAAAAGCUGCACGCACUGCAGGCACCACAUAUUGUUAGCUUCACCAUAAAAUUAUGCUCCACCUCGUCCUUAAAUGAGUUGGAGCCGAUACUCUCUCAACACAAGCGACAUCUUGCCUCUACUAUGGUUCAACACUAGCUUAACUUUUAGCCAGAGUUUCUCAACUUUUUAUGUGUGCCACAAGGCAAGAUAUAGUGCUGCUUUAACUUUUUGUUAGGCUUUCUACAACGCACCAGGCUAGAGUGCUGCCCCAACGUCCAUGUAAGCAUCAAGUGGCCAUGUCACACUCAACAGCAGCCUCGUAGGAGGCCGGAGAUGCCUGCAGAGGCUACGAUGGUUUCGUCUGACAAAAGAUGGAAGCACCUACUCAACACGUGUUGUAGAGCAGCUUCAAGAUGACAUCAGCUUGCUUAGGACCACAUCUCAUAUACAAUUAAAAUAUAGAGUAGGCUAUAAAGUAUGGACCCUACAAAAUUAGGAUAUGUUAUAGCUUGCAUGGUAGCAAAAUAACAUCUUUAGUUGUAGCUUAGUCUAUAUGGCAUGUUACUUUUAUGUGAGGCUAAUACUCUUAUUAGCCUGCGUUGGGGCUGCCCUUAGUGCAAGCCAAUACUUCUUCUGUAGGAGAAUCUGAUACUAUUUAAAACUAAUAUUAGUGAUGAUUUGGACAUGAGUUGCAUAGCUGGAAGUUGGGGCACCACUCCAGGUUGGAGCGUUGGGCAAUGGCCUCAGCCUCAGGUGACGAAAACUUCGAAAGUAGACUGAACGAUUAUCCUGCGUCAGCUUCCAAAUUUAGCAACAAUCAACUGGAGCACGAAACUCAAAACAAGAUCCAACGGCUGGCAUUCAUCGAAAUCGCCCUUUAAAACGCACAACUCCAUAAACCCUAGCGGACAAAGCAACUUUCUUUCUCACCCCCAAAACCCCCCUCCGCAAUCCCCCGCCUCCACCCCAAUGGCGUCCCUCCCUAACGGCGCCGGCGCCGCCGCCGCCGCCUCUGGUUCCUCCGGCGCGCGCCCGGUGGACAAGGAGGUGGACUUCGCCAACUACUUCUGCACCUACGCCUACCUCUACCACCAGAAGGAGAUGCUCUGCGACCGUGUCCGCAUGGACGCCUACCACUCCGCCGUCUUCCGCAACGCGCCGCACUUCCAGGGCAAGGUGGGGGACCCACCUGAACUGAAACCCCUCUAAAAUUCCAUUCUCUCCAGCAAUUUUGGGGGUCCGGUUUGGUUGAUUCGGUGGAUGUGGAUCUGUCAGGUGGUCCUUGACGUGGGCACCGGGAGCGGCAUCCUUGCCAUCUGGAGCGCGCAGGCCGGGGCCAGGAAGGUGUACGCUGUCGAGGCGACUAACAUGGCGGAGCACGCUCGCGAGCUUGCGCGCGCCAACGGCGUCGCGGACAUUGUCGAGGUGAUUCAGGGCACCGUGGAAGACGUUGAGCUUCCGGAGAAAGGUGAGGCUGAUUUCUUGAUGCUCGUCCUUUGAUUACUGAAUCGAUGGUAAAAGGAAUGAAUUUCUGUUGCAAUUGGAAUUGGAAUGCUACUCCAACCAUGUUAGUGACAGAGUGUACUGCACUUUAUAAUCUUAUAUCAAGAGAAAAGUUGAAAUUUUGAAUCUGAACAUGGAAGUUAUGAUGUGCAGACUACUGACUUCUCUGUUUCUGUCUGUUGUUUGUGAUGGCAGUUGAUGUCAUUAUCUCAGAAUGGAUGGGCUACUUCCUUUUGAGAGAGUCCAUGUUUGAUUCUGUUAUUUCUGCACGUGACCGCUGGUUGAAGCCAGAUGGUGUAAUGUAAGUCUAUUCUGCAAGUUAUGUUAAGAAGCACUACCAAAUUUCUUAGUGGCAAGCAGAACACAGAUUUACUUAGCCUAAGAUCAUUCGUUUGCAGGUAUCCUAGCCAUGCUAGGAUGUGGCUAGCACCCAUAAGAACUGGUUUGGGUGACAAAAAGAGGGAAGAUUUUGAUAUUGCUAUGGAUGACUGGAGCCUGUUUGUUCAGGACACUCAAACUUAUUAUGGGGUCAACAUGAAUGCUUUGACAAAGGCAUAUCGUUCAGAACAUGAGAAAUACUAUUUGAAGGUAUGCCAUCCUUAUUUAUCUUCUAGUUCAUGACUGUAGUCUUGGAAUGUAAAAUUCAGGUUAUUUCAGCUUAUGAUUUAUGAAUGACUUGUAUUUUGUUAUUAUGGUAAUGUAUGUCUUUUUAAGUAUAAUAAUGUCCUUUGUUGCACUUUCCUAAGCAAUUACAGUACUCAAUUUUGAGAAACAAUGAUCCUUUGAACCUGUAGCGGUAUUUUGGAUGAACUGUUGCUUACAAAGUUGUACAGCCUACAUUUAUCUCCACUGAAAUUUUAACUUUAUUAAUUUAGCCUACACAUUGAACCAAACCCAAGAUUGUUUCAUCCUAAAGUCUGGGUAUACUUUGAGUGGAUAGUUCUGCACUUGUUCGAGGGAAUCAAUAGAUUCUUGCUGGGAAAUCAGCUUGCAAGAGUUUUGAAUGACUAAGACUGUGUUUCAUGUUCCUUUUCCACACUUAAAUGUACACAUGUUUUUAUUCUGCUGCAGUCUUCAAUAUGGAACAAUCUUCAUCCAAACCAAGUUAUCGGUCAACCUGCAGCUAUCAAGGAAAUCGAUUGCUUGACAGCCACUGUUGAUGAGAUCCGAGAAGUCAGAGCACAAGUUACAUUGCCACUCACAAUGGAUGCUAGAUUAUCAGCACUGGCUGGAUGGUUUGAUGUUCAUUUUCGAGUAUGUCAGACUUAACUGCAACCCACUAAAUGCUAUGUCUGAACUACACUUUAUUUAAGAAUGGUGCUUGCUAUGUUUGUGAUAAUUUUCAGGGUAGUGCUCAAAACCCUGGGGUGGAGGAAAUUGAAUUAACUACAGCGCCAGAUGAGCAUGGUGGAACUCAUUGGGGUCAGCAGGUUGGUUUCCUGGGCUAUACUGCAUUGUUUUCUUGUCAUUCCUAGAAUCUGUUACCAGCUAUAGCCUGUAGUUACUAAUUUUUCAAUACUUUCUUAUCCGUCAACCUGUAAAUAUUGACUGCUAACAAAAGAAAUUUUGUGAAUAGAAGGAAAAGAGCUCUCUCUUUUCCCUUCUGAAUUUAUAUAGGCCGAGUGCAAACCUUCUCUUGGAAAAGCAAAAGAAGAGAAGAAGGGGAAAAGGAACUUAAAAAAACAUGUUAAUUUCACCAAAAUUGUUCUACAAAUGAAUGCUUUUAUUUGAGGUGUUAACUUUUGUAAAACAAGAUACUCCUUCAGUUGAUUUUUUCCAUUAUUGAAAUGCGUACUGCUCAUAAAACAGUUAACUGGUCUAGAAAAAUUAAUCAGAACCUUUUUCCCCCUAUUCAAGGUAUUCUUGCUGACUCCACCUCUGAGUGUGACUAAAGGAGACAAUGUUAAUGUCUCCUUCUCGAUGGUUCGCUCAAAGGAAAAUCAUCGACUUAUGGAUAUGGAGUUCACCUAUGAAUUGCAUGAGUUAUCUGGAAGGAAGCACCCAGCAGUCACAACCAAGAUGUACUUAGAGUAGACAAGGUACGGAUUAUAAUAUGUUUAUGAAUUUAAUUUAUUCAAAAAAUUUAGUAGUAGAUAGAUCAUAUAUAAAUGCAUGGGGGUUAUUGAAGAUAUGCCACUCUGGUUCACGUGGGCAUGGACAUGAAGCCUGCUCAAUCUAACCCUCGUUCUUUUUGCAUUUAUGCUGUGACAGAGUUGAUUAGGCCUGAUUCAUCAUCGUUAAAUGAAAAGACGGAACCGGCUUCCAUGUGCCAUCAGGCACUGUUACUGAACCUUUGCUCAGAAGCUGAGCAUAUGUAAGUGCCUCAGGGCCCCUGUGUGCUUGUUAUACCCAUGAUGUGUACAUUGAGACCAUGAGGCAUGUUGACAUGCCAAAGAUUCUGUUGUAUUGGUAAUAUCUUAUUGUUUGAUUGCUCAAGUAACGGGAGGAGCAAUUGCUUCACAACAUUUUAAUGUGGUAGCAGAUAUUGACCGACGUUACAGUUACUACAAACAUUCAGUGCAGAAUUUUGUUGAAUUCAAUUCAGUUUGUCCAAAGGCUGAUGCAUGAUGCAGUUCAUCUGUGCCCAGGAACUAGUCUAAGUGGUGAGUGUUGCCACGUGGUGAGAGAUCCUUUUCAACGAACCUAAUUUUGUCUGGGUUAUGUUACUUGUUCCUUGCAUUUAGCUGGCUGUAUGGGGCUGUGGGCUGUUGCCGUUGUCUUUGUUCCUGCUCUAGUUUGCCGCGCACACCCGGCUCUGAAUCUCUGAUUCCAUGCUCCCGCGCCCCCCAGGCUACGUUCCUCGCCAAAUUGACCCGAUGCGAGUCUCCUAGCUGUGUUGCAGCCUCAAUACGUUGGCGUUCCUGCUAGCUAGUGUUGCUUUUUUCUCGAUUGGACAUUGAGCCCGGUUUUUCAAUAAGAGGAAGUGAGCGAAAACAUUACAGGGUGGGAGUAAACCAAUUGCCAAUAUAUGUUUAUGCACGUGUGAGUUUAAGCUACGCCAUCACUGAAUCCAAAUGCUACACUCAGUAAGCUUGAAUACUACUCCGUACGUUAGUUACGCCAUCACAAACUGCAACUGAUGAAAGAUCAACAGAUGUAAUCAUGUUGGCUACUUAGUUGCUUGCCAUGAGCUGAUCAUCUUCUUUUACGUAGUGCCAUUAAGUUCUUCUCUAUAAAAAAUUACUAUGAAAAUAGUUCAGAAUUUCUAAUGUAAAAUUGUCUUCUAUAUUUUCAAAGCGAGAUUUUUUUUAAAACGGUUGCAAAAGCUCAAGAAAUAUACUUCAAUUUUUUUUUUUUAUCCACCACUUGGAAACCUCAUUGAUUUAGGGGCCGUCUACCCGGUAGGCCCCGUCCUGGCUCUCAAGCCGCCCGCGUCCGGCGACGGCGGCGAGCAGGAGCAGCAGGUACACGAGUGCGUGAGGUGGCUCGACGCACAGCCGCCGGCGUCCGUCGUGCUGCUCUGCUUUGGGAGCAUAGGCGGUAGCUUCGCCUCGCCGCAGGUCCGAGAGAUCGCCGCCGACGCCCUCGAGCAAAGCGGUCACCGCUUCCUGUGGGUACUCCGUGGUCCGCCGCCGGCCGGUUCGAAGACGGCGUACCCGACGGAUGCCAACCUCGACGAGCUGCUCCCGGAAGGGUUCUUGGAGAGGACCAAGGACAGGGGUCUGGUGUGGCCCAAGUGGGCGCCGCAGAAGGACAUCUCCUCGAUAGCCAACCCUGCCGUCGGCGGCUUCGUGACCCACUCCGACCCAAAACCGGCUCCGCUUGCUUAUACGGAAACCGAACGACUUUGAGCUUGAGUCGUAUUCAGUUUCCCUCUCCUUCAAAUAGGCAACGCCGGCGUUCUCAAAGCACGCGUCUUUUUUUUUUCCUUCCCCCGCAGCAAGCACGGAACGCCAGACGUCUAUGGCCGACGACACAUCAACCAGCAGCGGCAGCUGCAUCCGCAUCUACGGCCCGGAAAACUUCAAGGACAACUUCCGCAUCUUCAAAAAGGAAGAUGAGAUCAGACCCGUUCUUGCCAAGAUCGAGAGGAUCCACGACGAGGUGAAGCUUGACAACGGAUUGUGCUUCGGCCUCUUCGAUCCCGCCACCAACAUCCUCGUCAACAGCGUCAUCUCCAACUCCGAAGGUGCCCCUCCGCCGCCGCCACUGCCGCCGCCGCGGCGAGCGUACGCAGGACGCCGGCGGCGCCGAGGAUGGGAGGAGGAGGACAACGGCAGCAGGGCGCGUGCAUACAUGGCCCAGCGGUCGUUCGACGGCCUCAUCGCCUUCCUGACCUGCCUCUUCCCUUACCUCCCCGACGCGGAGGCCCUGGCGUACCUCGACGCUGCCGAGCUGGACCCGCUCGUCGCCGCCCUCGUCAUCAUCAGCAGGCGCGGGAUACAGGAUGAAUUCGACCUGUGCUCCCCGAUCACCGAGGCGGCAGCAGAGGUCGCGCUCAGGUGUUCUGCGGCUGCCGCCAAGCACCCUGACCCGCGGUGGUUCGUGCAGGCCUGGAAGAAGGUGCUCUCGCCUGCCGUGGAAGCGCUCGGCGACCCUGCUGCGCCGCCAUCACGCGAGACGCUGGGCGAUGCAGUCCGCCGCGCGCUCGACGCGGCGGCACCGGAUGUUCUUCAGCUGAAGGGAUCGUGGGACCUCGCCAAGGGGCGUCUUGCGGCAGCAAGCUCCAAGAUUUAUGCAGCACCGCCGUCGAAAGAGCUGCCUCCUGUCCGAGCAGCCAUGAAGCGGAUGCUGCUUGCAACAAUCCACGGGCUCUACGUGCAGGCGCUGGGCAGGCUGCCCACGGCGGAGCUGCGCAGUCGGUACCACCGCAGCUUGCUCCUCGGCGGCUACUGCUACGGCCCGCUGGAUCCUGUAUCUAAUAUCAUCGUCAAUACAAUCUGGUACGAGCAAAAUUUCCCGACGGGCAAACAAUUUUCAGUAUCCAUGGUUAGCACUCAGAUGCUGUGGCGUGUUGCAGCCCGGUCACUCUAUGGCCUCAUAUCCUUUCUCUGCACUCGACGUCAAGGUCUCACGCCUGAUGAAGCCGUGCAAUGCCUGCUCAUGACCAGAGCCGAUUUGCAAGCGGCUGAUUCUAACCUUUCUGCUACACUUAGUGCUGACAGAGAAAAACCUCUAGAUUUUUCGGAUUCCAGUGUAUUUCCUGACAGUCCUGCAGCUGAAGAAAGCACACGAGUUGCCAGCAUUGUUGAAGCUUAUACUGCCGCGGCCACAGCUGCAUUUCACUCCUCUCCUGACCCUGUCCCUCUUGCACACCCAGAGUUUCUUGCACAUCAAGGGUUUGGGUCUGCCUUAGAGGUGUUGCAUGCGCGUGAUGGUGGUCCACUCUCCUCUGAAGAUAUUAGUUUGCUCGGGGGGAUAUUACAAAGUUGUUCCUCGCCUAAUAGCAAGUCACACCAGCAACAUGAUAUAGCCCCUAAAAUGGUCAAGAACUUAGUGUAUUAUCAUAUGAAUCAAAGCAGCCAUAGGUUUUGGGGUAAGCAUGAGCGAGUUACUGUUAUGGUGGGAGAUGCAUUGGACAAAUUCAACAAGACUGUUGCGGUUAGUUUUCGUUUCUUACUUUAACUUAUCUGCAUUUUUUUACUUCAUGUCAUAUUUCUAUACAUUUUUGUUAACUAUUGAAAUAAGCUGCCUGGUUUCCAAUCUAACGCUCUUUAAUCUUCAUGUUUGAAGGAGGGUCGCUUGUUUGAACUUCAUAUUAUCUUUGGUUUCAAUGAGUUUGUAUCUGGCCCUGUGCACAGCAAGGAGAAAGUUGGAGCCUAUAAUCCAUGGACUCCUGACAAAUAUUCUCACACCCAUAUUAACUUUUUGGCAAUAUGCAAAGACCGCCCAUAUGAUCCUCCAACAAUCUUCUUUGCUGAAUGUGGCAAAGAUGGCGCUGAUACCUGUUGGUGUGUCCCUAUAAUUCCGCAGCAACCAAAAUCUGGUAUGCUCUAAUUCUAAUUUUGUGAUUUUUCUUUUAAUAUUUUUAAUAUAAUAUACAUUCUUUUAAUAUUUUCCUUCAAAUAGAUCUAGGUCUUUUAGCUUUUUAUAUAUGUAUAUCAUUUUUUGCAGUCUUCAUUGUUUAACUACCUAUAAUUUCAUCCAAAUAUCAGCAUAAUAGCCAUAAUGUAUCUUUGUGUUGUUCACAUGUUAUCAAGAUUUUUCUUAUGGGUUAACUAAAGAUCGUGUUUAAUUAAUUAAUAGCUACUGGUGGGUAUUAUUCAUGUUUUGAUCCAUAGCCCAAUGCAAUGUCAUCAUUGGGCAUGUAUUUCUAGUAUCAUCAUGUUUCUUAUUAGCUAAACCACUACUUUGCCACUGCUCUGCCGUUGAUCUGAACUCCUAGCACCAUAGAAAUCAAUCAAGGACCAAUCUCAAAAACAUAGCAUUAGCUAAAGAACAAAUGCUGAAGACUUAGGAUUACAUUUUGUGGGACAUAACAUAUAUAUAAUGUAGACUUCUUGUCUGUUGUUGCACCUUUUGUUAUGAUGCAAGUGCAGUUUAUUAUGCUCGGAAGUUACCUUUUGCUGUUUUAAUUACUCACAUGUUAGUUAAUUGCUUAGAAUUCCAUUAACCCUUUUGAGAGGUCAGUUGUGAUUAAUAACCUAAUUAUAGUAUGUUCUUAUCUGAAAGAACGAGUCUAUUUGAAGAUCACAUGUGUUGCACCAUCAUUCUUGAUCUUACUAAUUAUAGUGUACAAAUGUGUUUUUUUCAUAUGUAUGGCAGAACAACCUCGUUGCGUGUACUGUGAGCAUCGAGCUAACAGGAUUGUGCAUCCAGCUACGGAGAGUUUCCACGGUCUUGACGAGUUUGAUAAGCUAUUUUAUGAAUCAGAUCGAAAAUUCUAUACCAAUAAUCGGGCCAUCGAAGAUUGUAGAUUAGAUAUAGAUUGGGUCCAUGGUGUGGAAGACGGUGCCAUCUACCUUAACUACUGCCCAGAUGGUGAUGAUGGUGACGAAGCUGAUUGGAUACAGAUUUCCUAAGUGCUAGGUGGCAAGGAUUGUGACACAAGUGAUGUAAAAUUAGAUAGAUAAUGUUAUUUAUUUGUUCUUGUGUGAACUACUUUAUGAUUGCUUUUAACUGUGUUUGUUGGAGAUCCGUUUCACAUUACUAGGAUCACAUAAUAUUUUGAUUUGAACAUAUAUAUGGAUUUAUCAAUAUGGUCCAUCUUUUGCUAUACAUGACGCUCAUGAGUUCCAAACCAAAUCAGGUCAGUAUUCUAAAUAGCGACCGUGAUAAAAUCAUGUUCUUCACAAUGUUUACGCGGGAUAAAAUGUCAAUACUUUGCAGCUUGUCAUAACUCAAAACAACAUUAUAGCAGACAAAAAAUGUUCUUUUAGCUAGGUUACUCCUAAUGGAAGUUCCUUUUCAUGUUGUAGUCACAUAAGACUUACUAGUUGCUUGAUCCUAUUGAUAAUUUGAUAUAGGUUCAAAAAUAGAAAAUAUGCUGUACAAACCAUAUAUUUAGUGGAAUCGUGAAAAUAUGGUCCUAGAAAAGUAUAUUUAGGAGUUUGAUGAAUUGUUAGAGCGUAGUCCGGACAUGCGAUCAGGUCAUGUUUACACGUAAACAGGGCCACAUGCCUUGCUGGAAACUUGAUGGUGGUGGUCGUCGUCAUGAAAAUCUCUGAAAGCUAUGGGAUCGUAGGACCAUGCUUCUGUUAGCACUGCAGUUUCCUUGGGAUUUAUUCGGUACCGUCGCCGACGUCCUCAUGAUUUUCAAGCCUCGGCUCUUUCGUCCCCAAAAUUGGACAAUGUCGUCUGUUUUGCCUUCAUUCCUCAAAAUUGGAUAACAGUUUCAGUUUCCAGAUGAUCAUAACCCGCCGACAAAAUUGGCGCUGCCUUGAUUCUGAUGCGCUUCAUGCUCAGCCAUGAGGCCCAACUGGCAAAUGCUGCCCAAUCUUGCCAUUGUCAUUUGUUCCUUUCAUUCAGUGUACAAAACCCAAUUCUUACACUUAUUUCAUUUCAUUUAAGAGUGGAAUUGGUACAUACAAAACUCAGUAGCCUUAUUACAUGAACUGAUACAUGGCAGCUCCAGCUCAUCUCACCAGUUGGCAUCGUACCAGAAUUUCAGUAUUAACAUGCACAGUAGUAACGUUACAGCACCGCUCUGUAAAUUCUUUUCAGGGUCACCUAAUCAUCAUCAAAAUAGUGUUUAUAGUAUGUACACCGUCACUAUAAUGCUAUAGGCUUCGCCGUCCCUCUUCGGGAUUGUGCAUUUGGCCACCUCCCAUGGCACACUUCAGUUCUAUCCAGAAAACACAAUCGUGAAUGGAACAGCAUGACAAGUGGUCUCCGUAUGGAACUUUUGCAGAAAUUGCCUUUAUCUAUCCGUUCUUCUUGGCAGUUCCUUCCCCUACUUCAUCAACAGAAGUGCAUCACGAUGACGCCCUAGGAGGGUCAAUGCAGUUGCAGCUAUGUGAUGGGCAGUUAGGCCAGCCAAGUCAAGUUGCUCCGCCAGUGAAGCGUGUUCAAUGUACCUGUCUGGUAGCACAAUGGGUCUCCACUGCAAGUUACAAAGAAACGGGCACCUUGAGAUUAGCACAUAGAAAUAACAAAAAUCAGUAGAUCACUAAACACAGCCUAAAAUUGCUACCAAUUAACACAUCAAGAGCACUGGAAAGUGGAAAGUGUAGCUGUGAAGCAUGAGGUCGGUGCCUCCAUUGCAAGAUCACAGAACAAGCUUCGUGCUGGGUAGAGGUCACAAACAGCACCGCAAAGUGGCAAAGGUACCUUUAUUCGGCCAUCAAGUAGACCAUCAAGUGAAAUAAACUGAGAGACAUGUGAUCCAAAGCCACCAACUGUUCCUUCUUCAACUGUGAUAAGAAAACUGUGCUGCUGACAUAGCGUUCUGAUUAGAUCGAUGUCAAGUGGCUUGCAAAAUCUCGCAUUUGCAACUGUCGCCUGAAUGCCAAAGUUAGACAAAAGAGAUCGAGCAAUCAAGCAUCUCUGGACCACCUCGCCAUAGCCAAGAAAAGCUAUCUCUUUUCCCUCGACAAGAAUCUCUCCUUUACCAAUCUGAAAAAGGGUACGGAGAACAUCACAACCUACCUACACUUCAAAAUAUCUCAAAACAUAGUGACAAGUGAGAACAUAAAAGGAACAUUUAUAUACUUUCCAGAUGACAAAGCACAUCUUUCUUGUUUUCAAAGCAAUGGAUUGCUUUAUAUUUUUUUUAAUGGUAAGAAAGACAGAAGUGGUACACUGCCUGUUAUUCUUCCGGUGAUAAAUUCAAUGUUGAAAUAAGAACAUGAGUUCUUCGAUUUCUUAGAUAUCUUUGUGUGCAGCACAGCAAUAUGGUACAUGUGCUUGAAAUGUUAGGGUUGUACUAUUUGCAAGUAUGUUGAUUAGAGCAUUGAAGGGAACCUACCUCAAGCGGAUUCCCAUAUGUUAAAGUUCCACUAGUCCCAACAAUGGCACCCCUAGGAUAGCGGAAGCAAAUAGGUUUGUCCUCAAUCAUUGCAGCUGUUGCCACCAUGUCAAUAAGUUCAUCCUCAUUAGAUGGUGACAUGACAAUCAUGUUUGGCAAGCAUGACAUGAAUGUAAUAUCAAAUGGUCCUGAGUUAGUUGGGCCCUCAGAUCCCACCAGACCAGCAUUUGUGAUAGCAAAUCGAACUGGUAUCUUUUGCAUGUCCACAUCUUCAACUAUCUGCCAUACAUGUGAGCUUUAUGAAAUGUAAUGUACAUAGCAGUAAAGCAGCCUCGCAGAUUUAGUGAACUAAUUGGAGAUUAUGCACACACUAAUUUAACAGCAGUAUGUGUUGGCACCUGAUCAUAUGCUCGCUGAAGAAAUGUGGAUGGAAUUAUGCAGAAAGGCUUUAAACCUCCACAGGCCAAACCAGCAGAAAAGGUAACAGCAUGUUGCUCAGCGAUGCCCAAGUCAAAAAAUCUGUCUGGGAACCUAGACUGGAAUAAGCGGAGUGACCGAUCCAUUCCCAUGCCGCCAUGAACUACCACAAUGCGCUUGUCAUUCUCUGCUUCUGCUGUUAGUGCUUCUACAAAGCAGUCAUUAUAUGUCCUAGAAAGUCCAGUUUCUAAAAAUUUAAGAAGAUCAUUGCUCGAAUUUGAAGGCCCUGUUGUCAGUAAAAAAAUUAAUCUGUAAAAGGUUCAUUCAAUUUAUAUAGAUUGUAUAUGUAAAAAUACAGCCAGUAAGGACUCUAAGAGGGCAAUAGUGUACCAUGACUGCAAAAGGAUCAGUACAUUAGCACCCAUAGACUCUUAGUGUGUUAGAAUGUGUCAACUUAAUCGAGCCUGUAAAAGUUGUGACUUACAUUGAGCCUAAGUUGCUAAGCAUGACUUAUAUGCAUAUUUUUAAAGAAACUUCUUUGGCAUGAGUACUGACACUUCCUCGCAUUGCCAUGGUUCUUCCUCCCAUAGAGGAGGAACCCCAGUGCAGACACAUGACUCCUAAUUCAGCAAAAGAAAAGUAAAACAGCAUGCAUAUUUUGAUAGUGACCUGUAUUACAAACCUUCCUCACUUGCAGUUAUUUCACUUCUAAUAUUUCCAUCAGUGUCACUUUCAGUCCCAGUAAUUACAUGUACAAGUACUGGGCCAGUUGAAUCUAGGCUUGCAACCUCCUUUAGUACACAGAUGAGAUCAUCAAUGUUGCGCCCAUCAAUAGGACCGAUAUAAUAUAAUCCAAGUUCUUCAAAAAGAGUUGCUCCAUGAGGACCUAUCAUACCACGAGCAUACUCAUCAACUUUGGCAGCAAAUUCAUGCAUUCCUUUGCCAAACCAUUUGGCAAGUCCCUAGGAAGAAAAAUUCAAAUAUCAAAAUGGGAAUAUUCAUAUCCAUAAGACUACACAAUAAAUCCCAAAGUAACAAAAACAAAGUUGAUUUUCUAGAUAAAGAAAUCAGAGCUAUACAAUUACAGGCAUUCUAAAAGGUCCAAUGCUGUGUUUACAAUACAUUCUCAAGGAUAUAAACAUUUACCUUUGCAGCCUCCCUAAACCUUCUAAAUCCUUUGCUGGAUUGAAUCUUGCUGAGAGCACUAGAGAAGGCAUUGACUGACAUCUUUGGCCGGCCAUCGGCUUUAGGAAGCAAGGUAUGGCAGCUAUCAUUUAGAAUAACUACCAUGUUGGAAUCGAGGAAACCAGCAUGACCCAUUGCCUCGUACACCUGGCCAGCCAUGGUUGUCCAAUUACUUAUUACUGUCACUAUUCGAUUUUUUCUCCCAUUUAUAUCCCUUGCAACCGCCAUCCCUGAUAAGAAGUAACUCCUCAAAGGCUCAAACUAUAUAUAUAGAAAGGAAAUGAAACUUUAAAAGACUGUAUAAAAGAAGCAAGAUUCAGGAAAUACUGAACAGAGCUUGGAUUUUAUCAUGAUGUGUAAAGUUUUGUGAUGAUUAAUCUGUUGGCUGUAAACAUCAUAUACUGUGAGGAUUCCGUGCAAUUUCACACAAAAAUAAAGAACAGGAACUGAAAGCACUGAGCAGAAUAAUUUAGAUCAGGCUCUGUCUUUUCUUAAAAAGAAAAUCUCUUCCUGCUGCAUACAUAAUUGGAUUCAGAAAUUAAAUCCAACAUUAUUGAAUUUUUCAAGUAGACAAGCCAUUAGUUAAAAAAGCAUACACGUGAAAAUAUCACUAAGAAGUGACUCUGAGAAUCAUGUCAAUUCCAUUCCACUUGCAGAGAACAGUUCUGUUCAAUAACAUAGAUACAAUUUGACAUGCAAGACAGUAAUGAAAAAAUAGAGGAAGUACCAAGGCCAGCAGAUAGACUAUUGCAUCCAUGUCCAGCACCAAAGGGAUCAUACUCGCUCUCAAAACGCGACGUGAACCCGGAAAGGCCAUUUUUCUGUUUAAUAGUAUGAAAUUGAGAGCGCCUUCCUGUGAGAAUCUUGUGCGCAUACGCCUGUUGCAAGAAAACUAUUGAGCGAAAAAAAGGAUGAAGAUGACAAAGUUGAGCAAAACAGAUAUCUUACAUUUGAAAACAGUAACAGAAAGAUGUCUUACAUGUUGACCAGCAUCCCAUAGUAUCUUAUCCAUUGGGGCAUUGAACACAUAAUGUAUAGCAAUUGUCAGCUCCACAACUGAGCGACCAGGACCACAUGGUUGGCAUUUUCUGGACAUUAUGAAAGCUAUUUCAGAACGAACUUCGUCGGCUAACUGCUUGAGCUCCUGUUUUUUGUUUAGGUAUACAAGCGUCAAAAUUGUCUCAAAUCUUAUGCAUUAUUACUAUGAGAAUGAAAGCCCAGAGAGUAUGACUCUGACGACCUUACUAGAUAAAUUUUUCAAAUGGAUGGGUGCAUCAAUUGUGUCCAGGAUCGGAGUAGGAUCCUUCUCCCAGAAGAAAUCAUCAACAUCAGGUAGUGCGGCCAUUCUCUGAGUCAAGCCCUGCACAAGGUUGCCGUAUCAGAUCACAGCGUUCAUGUACAUCUCUAACGAUAUAUGUGAAGUUUGGAGCUAAAAAUCAACUCUGAAACUCAGAGAAGUUCCUUCUGUUAUGCCUUGCAGCUUCGGGAAGAGCAUACCCUUGAUGGUGAAGCUGGUGAUGUUGUUAGCAGCGGUCUUGAAUACAUCGGGUUGCAUCUCAAAUACCGAAGAGUGUGAAAAGGGUAGCUUGUGGGGUGCAGAACGGCAAACUCGUCAUAAACCAGAUUACGAGCGAGCGGAGGGCGCAGAAACGCCGUGUCCAUGAUGGAGCCUGGCGGCAGCUGAUGUCCCCAAAUCCUGCAAUUUGACUAUCCAUUUCAAAGAAAAGAAUACCCGAACCGGAGCAACACAGCUGAAUCUGACGAGCGAGCGCCUUCUUCCCCUCUUAAUCAACCGCACAGAUUUUAGCUUAAACACGAACGGAAAGCUACCUCAAACCAGCAGAAGACGCCGCCGCCGUGAUCUUCUCCUCCCCUCGCGCGGGAGCGGGACCGGCGGCCGGAUGCGGCGGCUACUGAGUGACGCCUUGAGGGUGUGGGGGCGGCAAGGCAGCCCUACUCCGAUUUGGGUGGAUGCGGAGCGUCGCGCUGUACUGGCGACAUGACAGAGAGGCUAAUCCCGAACGCAAAGUUUCCAUCUUUUUCUGUGUCCUGAUAUAGCAUAGAGUUGAUUAAUCUCAUCUCACUGUAGUAAUGAUGAUUCCUCUCCACGUCUGCUCUUUGGUUAGUGCGUUCAACUGUAGUCAAUUUGCGGCGACUUUUCCCUACGCGGGGGCUAAUCUGAGAAAAUUUUGCGUCGUACAAAUCUAACUGGGGGUAACAUGAAAAAAAAAAAACUCUUGGGUCGUGAUUACCGCGAUGUGCUAGUGGUGGUGCCUGAAACUAAAAGGUGAUCCAACUAAGAAAAGGCAUAACUCCUUUUGGGCUGCAGUGAUAGGUAUCGCCUACCCCUCCUGUAUUCUUUGAUGUAAACAUUUUAAAAUGAGUAAUAUAUGCCUACCUUCCUCUCAAAAAGAAAAAAGGUGUAGUAAAAUAUUUUUUAAUAAAGCAAAUAUAUAAUGAAUGGCGUGAGAGAGCAGGAGACGAAGAGAUCAAUAUAUUUCUAAAGUUGUUUUAAGCUAAUUAAAAAAUAUUAAGAUUUAUAGCAUUAGAUUAGUAUUGUUAUAUUUAUCAUAGAAUAUAUUUUUAGAAGGUGCUCAUUUCAUAUCACAUAUAUUAUUACUCAUUUUUUAUAAAAUUAGCCACUGACAUAAUUUUUAGGAAUAAAUUUAUUUAGAGAUAGAGAUCGUUUUUUUCAUGGAGAGAGUAUUUAGUCACUGCCUCACUGGGCAUCAGACCUGCACAUACAUUGUUCCUAGUUUUCUUAGGCCUUGUUCAGUUCCGAAAAGAUUUCGGAUUUCGGCACUGUAGCACUUUUGUUUGUUUAUGGAAAAUAUUAUCCAAUUAUAAAUUAACUAGGCUUAAAAGAUUCAUCUCGCGAUUUACAGACAAACUGUGUAAUUAGUUUUUGUUUUCAUCUAAAUCUAAUGCUUCAUACAUGUGCCCUAAGAUUCGGUGUGACGGGGAAUCUUGAAAAGUUUUUGGAUUUCGGGAUGAACUAAACAACAAGGCCUUAUAUUGGAUAUCGAUACACUGUGAUGUCCGAAUCUUCCCUAUUCUUUUGAAUCAUCACUUUAAGGGCUUGUUUGGAUCUUAUGACUAAAAAUUACCUAGUUAAUAGUUAAUAGCUACUAACUUAUUAACAGAAGAUUGUUUAGAUCAACCUACUAAUAGGUGGUUGGAUAGUGAUUUAAAAGUUUAUAUGAACUAUUAGCAGUAAUAGUUAGCAGUCCUUUAUUAACAAUUAAUAAUUUUAUUAAUAAAUCUAUUAGGAUCCAUUGAUACUUAAUAUUAAUUAUAAUUUUUAGUGCUAAUAGAUGCACGCAUGCAAGCCGUGGAGGGCCUUAAUUGCUCGAUAUCUGAAUUAGGGGUCUUUAGAAAAUAUAUGGGUCGUGAUUGAUAGUCCCAAUCAAAGUUAGGUGUAUUUUUGGAAAAAAACGCAGGAUCGAGAUUAGUAGUCGCGAUCCGACAGGGGUCUUUUAGAAAAUGUUUUGGGCUGAUCUGCAAACUUGCGGUGAAAUUCCCGGCUCCGGCUUCCGCGGGGUGGAUUUGGAUAGCUCGGCGCAGGAAAAAUGGCGGCUUCCGCGCUCCACCUUCGCCUCCUCCCCUCGCCGCCGGCGAGUGUGAAGCUUCAGCAGCGACAGCUGCGCUCGUUGAGCCCCGUGAGACCCUCUACUGCACCCUUCUUCUUCUUCUUCUUCUUCUUCUUCUAGUCCCUUGUCGCUGCAUUCCUGUUUCGUUUCGAUUGUGCGAGAGGCGGAGCCACGCCUACCGGGGUUGCUGGCUUGCUGCCCCGUGUGCUCCCCCUACCCAGGACUCAAUACGCUGCCCGCCAUGGCGGCGCUGCACCGCGACUUGGCAGAGUGGAGAGUAUGGAGCGGUCCGAGAAGUCUCUUCCGUUAACUGUAGUGUCCAGUAGGCUUGCCGGGCUGCCUAGCCAUUAUAAUGCUCUGGCAUAAGAGGAUUCGCGUGUGUCGAUGUGUGUUCUCACAUGCAUAUGAACUCUCACUUUAUGUCACUUGGAAACCAACGGCAUUUUGAUUGCGCAGUUAGAUGGCCUUACCUUCUUAAGAGACUAGAUUGUACACACGACCUUACCUUUUUAAGAGGCUAAUAAAUUAAAUUUUCAUUAUUCAAUGAGCAUACUUGGGCCUUGAAUUGAAGUCAAUUGAUUGCUGGUUUAGUAAGUCCCAGUUUGUUUGAGCUUCUGCUGCGUCUUCACAUAUUUUAAAGCAUGUGGAAAACAAUGAAAUUGCUGUGCAGACAUGUGUUUUGAAAUUUUGUGCUGUUUGUGCCUGAUGUUUAUUGCAGAGAAUACAGAGACAGGGUGGACUAUCUCGAAGAUUUUCGAAAGUUGUGUCCUAUUACGGUCUCACAACUCCACCAUAUAAACUGGUUCGUGAGCUUGACUUCAGUUUCAAAAGAUUUGUGUGCUGUCAACUGUCAUUAAAGGAGUGUCCAAAUUUUAACUUUGUUUGCCUUUGUUUUGUGGUAUGAUGUUCAGGAUGCUCUGGAACCUUAUAUGAGCAAGAGAACAGUUGAACUUCACUGGGGUAAGCACCAUCAAGAUUACGUGGAUGGCUUGAAUAAGCAGCUGGCUACCAGCCCUCUGUAUGGAUACACUCUGGAGGAUCUGAUAAAAGAAGCCUACAACAAUGGCAAUCCAUUACCAGAGUAUAACAAUGCAGCACAGGUAACUCGAUGAUACUCCGUUCAUUAUAUUUUGUUUGCACUGAUAAUCUUUUGCCUGUCAUUUGUUUUCUUUCAAAAAGAAAAACUGCAAAUGCUUUCACCAAUAGUAGGAUGGUUUUUGGAGUUCCAACCUUCUGUCUUCUGACAUGCAGGUCUGGAACCAUCACUUCUUCUGGGAAUCAAUGCAACCAGAAGGUGGUGGCGUACCUGUGGGAGGUGUGCUGCAGCAGAUUGAAAAGGAUUUUGGCUCGUUUACUAAUUUUAGGGAAGAGUUUAUCCGCUCAGCUUUACAACUAUUGGGAUCUGGUUGGGUUUGGCUUGUCUGUAAGUUUCCUUUCCAUUUUCUCUGAAGUACAGGCAGCACUGAUUCAAGCUACUAAUUACCUGAAUUGCUCUUUCUAAAGCUAAUUUCUAAAGUUUAGUUUAUAUUCCACUGAAUAUUUGUUGCAGUGAAGAGAAAUGAGAGAAAACUUUCAGUGGUUCAUACACGAAAUGCUAUCUCCCCACUUGCUUUUGGCGAUAUUGUAUGUUUACUAGACUCCCUUUUUCCCCUUGAUGUGCUUUGUAAAAUUUUUUUAGUAUAAACUUUGCAAUGACCCCAUACUCUCUAAUUGCAGCCAAUCAUCAGCCUAGACUUAUGGGAGGUAAGGACAUGAGUUUGUAGAUUCUAUUUUGUGCCAAAUAUUGACACUUCUCCUUUUCUCUCCAGCAUGCUUACUACUUAGACUACAAGGUGUGCUCUAGUUCUCUUUUUUCUUUUUCUUUUUUUGUGCUUAACACCUAAUUUUGAUUUUUGACAAGUUAGUUAUAACUUAGCAGAAAACUUCUGUGCUUCUUUGUUUUUCAACUUUUCAGGAUGAUAGGCUAGCAUAUAUUACAAACUUUAUGGACCAUCUCAUCUCUUGGGAUACUGUCACUCUACGCAUGAUGCGUGCAGAGUCUUUUGUGAACCUUGGUGAGCCAACUAUCCCGGAGGCAUGAGCUACAGAUACACCCUAAUUAUCAUCAUGAGGUAAGAAUGCAGUAAUUUGAUGCAUAUAUAUAUAUAUAUAUAUAUAUAUAUAUAUAUAUAUAUAUAUAUAUAUAUAUAUAUUAAUCACGUACUUCAACGCAAGAAACGGGGGCACUGUUUAGUUUCUUUGUGCUUUUUUCCAGCUAACGAGUAACCUUCAGUAGUAGAAUUAAUGGAAAUGCAAUUCAGAACAACCAUAGGUUUGUCUCUCUCAUGGCACAACAAAACUUUUUCUUGGAAAACUAGUACAUGAGGAAACAGAAUACUAGUAUCGAGAUUCAUGCUCAUGCACCAUUACAUAUCAGGUUACAUGGAGGUUUUAUGCAAAGGUUUUCUUUUUUCUGUUUUAGUUAAGGCCAGGUCAGAGUCGUGCCCAAGGCUUAACCUGCAACUGAACUGAGAUGACAAUUAGAUGCUGUCCUAUCGCUAUCACAUUAUUAGCACUAGGUCGAUCUUUAUUGGCAAGGAAUACUGCUAUAAAGCACCCAGUCCCUCACAAACUAAAUAAAAAAAGAUCCCACAUUUAGCUAGUUGAUGCGAUGUUCUUGCAUCCACUAUACUUGUAUGUCAACAUUAAUUAUUCAGGCCUACAGAGGAUGGCAAAUGGUCCAGUUAUCUUCCCUCUUGUCACCUCAUCUAAAAGCAAAUAUUUAAUAUCUUCUAUCAUGUUGUUUGGUGUGUAGCUUUUAAGAGUUUGAUCCCUUGUUUUCAUCCACUGAAUAGGUAUCCUUUGGAUACAUCGGAUCAUAUCCUGCUGCUGGAGGAACCAGAGAGCUGCAAAGUCUCAUCUCUCAUAAGAAAUGCUUAUCACUGUAAUGUCAUACACGCGAUGAAUGUAAAGAUAAGCUGCUGGGUUUUGCUACAUGGAAAUAACUAGUCAGCAUCCAGUUUGAAGACAUGCAACAAAGCAGCUCUAGAAGCUUUGGAGCUGGUAGAUUAUGGAGUUGGCAGUGAUCCAACUUGGGCUUUGAAGCCAUGACGCUUUCUCUAGACUGCUAUGCUUCAGAACGAGUGCCCAUAGUGUUGUUAGAAUAAUCUUGGUUGUGUGUUUUCAUGACUUCAUCAUCCUAAUGUUCUGUUGUAGCAGAUUCCGGAAUGGAACAAUAUGCUUGUUUUACUGGUUGAGGAAUCCUAACAGUUUUGGAUUAUAGGGAAAUCUUUCACGUGUAUCAAACACUGAGAGAGAAAGGAAGUUAAAACUUCAGAACUUGAAUGCAAUGCUAUAGCCAUCCAAAAUCUGCAGACCUUCAGAGCCGUGUAACUAUGUAAUUUAUUACAGCGGCAGUUAAUGAUCUUUUUUUUUGUUCUGGAAAGAUACGGUGGCUUUGAUUAAUAAUAAGGAGACAGCAAACAACAGUUUAUAUGCGCGAGGAGCGCUCACUACCACAGCCUAGGGUAGGAUUACAAAGCUGAUUAUUCACUACCUAAUUGUAGCAGUGGUUGAUCUAACAUCUGUGAAAGAUAAUAUGCGCUUCUAGUUUAGCUGAAAAGGAGAUGUGCAGUUUAUGAACUAAAUAGACAAUUUCUUCCCUUAUUUUUUUCAUUUAGUUUAUUUAGUUACGCUAGAGAAGAACCGUGGGUUUUUUUUUUAUUGUCAACGGAGGGGAGUCGGUCCCCACCUGAAAUAUAUUAAUAUGCCCCAAACGGCUGUUGUUUAAAUUACAUGUGCACGCUCAGCAUAGCGCUUAAAGAGUGAAGAUCACAACAUCGUGAUCAAGACAGCAUUGAAAGGUACGACAUUAGGCAUUCUAUUCUAUCCCUGGCCUUGUCUCGCCAUCUAGAAGAGCACCGUCCCCAUCCUUAUUGCUGCUGCAUCAGCAUAAGACAAAGCACACUGAAGGUCGUGAGCAGACAUUCCCGGCGAAUUCGAUACGAUGAACUGUCGCUGAGAUAUUCUAGCUGACAAAGCAUCCACCAUAAUCUUUCCCAGUUGGUCUGUUUCCCCUGACCUUGACAUCCAUUUUGCACGUCCAAGACUGGAUAGCAGUCGAUCAAUGCCAUGUUCUCUGCACCCAUUGUAAAAAGGCGAGGCCUGCUCAUUGUUGAAUCCCUACCCCCCCCCCCCCCCCCCCCUGGUAAUUGUUGCAAUCAUAGAUGACUGUACUGCAGCAAAGGUGCUGGGCUCGAGUCUGUACAAACAAACGGUUGCAGUACUGAAGGUCGAAGGCUUUUUUGUCAGCAUGGUCCUAGAUCAUCAUUGAUCCAUCUUGUGCAGGGACAAUGACGAAUGACGCCAACCAAAGGCUUUCCUCCUGCACAUGUUGUGUCACACAGCAGGUGGUUGCACCAACUGCAAACAGAAAGGACGACACCGAAAAGAUCUGUUCUGCAUCAGUCCAAGCUGAUGAGCAGCACGGCAGGUUAACCUGCUCAACCUGUCACUGGAGAGUGGAGAGCAGCCACUGAUCUUCUGGUCUCAGAUCAUUGUUGUUGUUGAUCUAUCUUGUGUUGUGUAGGCAAGAUCUGGUGCAGCAGCCCAGACGCUGCUGCUGGUGAUAGAUAGUUUUUCAGACAUGAAAAGAUCGGCCCCAGUCGAACAGGGUUCCCCAGAACCUGAAUUCUGCCAUGAUUACUGCACCUUUUUUGCACAUAUAUAUAAAAAGAGAACAUGAAGAAUAAAUUCCAUCGGAUCAGAACGCAUAGCAGCAGUACAGUUACAGAUAAAUUGCGCGAAGCGAAUGCGUUGUGUUGAGAAUCGGAAUUGGAUGAACUGAUAACAACAACAGUAACAAAAGACGCGGUGGUUCAAACCAUGGUUGGUUUACGAAUGCUCAAACUGACAGAGUAGUAAAUCUCUCUUGCGCUACGACAUGCAUGCUUUAUUAUUAUGUUUGCACAACCAGGCGACUAAAGGAAAGCAGGCUACUGAAUCAUCACUAGGUAGGUAGAAGAGAGACGGAGGCGAUCUCCAUCGAUCUGCAUGUCGAUCCUCCUCUGGAGCCGGAAGUCAGGCUAGUUGCAGCAGCAGCAGAGGCAGUCGAGGCAGCACUCGCAGGUCUCGUAGCAGCAGAAGCAGCACAGCGCCGUGAAGAUG